Monodelphis domestica (gray short-tailed opossum) is the source of this 53689-nucleotide non-coding RNA. Lineage: Eukaryota; Metazoa; Chordata; Mammalia; Didelphimorphia; Didelphidae. The record is from RefSeq and is a predicted model, not a curated record.
AUUCUACAGCGGAACAUCUGGACGACGGCCGAAUUUCCCCUCGCUUCCCCGGCGAGUUUGGACUUCGUGGGACACUCCGGGAACUUCGCGAAACUAAUGUGCUAUGCAUUUGAAACGCUGUCAAUUCGUCAAUAAGAACUUCAGAUCUCCUAUUCAGUCUCCUGAAUGGAGAAAAGCAUCUAUUUUGACACAGAAAAUCGUAUAUGUUGGCAGAGUAAAUCAUCCACGUUGGCAGAUAAAAUUAGAGCGGCUGCUCUGAAAAUGAGCAUUGAAACUGCGUGGAACCAUCUGUCCCACCUAGCUCAGCAGUUCAGGAUCAGAAGCAAAUCACCCAUGUAAGAGAGAACAGAUCGAUCGUCGACCGGGAUGCAUAAAAGGAAGAGCAAGAAGAAGAGAAGGAAGAAGCGGAAGAGGAAGAGGAAGCGGAAAAGGAAGCUGGACUGGAAGAACAUUCUUCGAAGAUGGUUACAAAGGUCGGUCAAAUGUUCUGCAGUAACAGCCCCCUCUUUGCAUUAAUCAGUGCCUAGUAUCUAGCCUUAUCUCAUCUGGGGUCUUGAGAGAAGAUCAAAAGGAGGACAAGAAAUAUAAGGAGGAUUUGGGGAUGCCUCCCUAAAAUCCGGCAAGAAACUUAGAGGGGAUUUUUACACUGACAAGUUGAGGGAUGAUUUCUGUAACCCCUCAGGAAAAUAUGGCCUGGAAUUGGGUCAUAAAACCUCAGAGUUGAAGAGUUAUUCUGUAGUUCUUAGAGACUGUCCAGUCCAUCCCCCUCAUUUAAUAGAUGGAGAAACCAUCUUGGGAAGUACUUGCCCCAAAUCACAAAGGUGGCAAAGCUGGGAUUUGAACUCAGUCUUCUGAUUUCAAUUCCAAGGCUCUUUUGAAGGGACCUUAGUGAUACUCUGGUCCUAUUCGGUAAAUUUGCAGCUGGUAAAACUGAGGCCUUGAGGGCAAACUGGCCUGACCUCCUGGUUCACUAUUAAUUAGCUUUAUUGUAGAAGUAAGCAUCCCAGCAUCCUUGCAAAUAAUGCAUGUACCUGGGUAGAAAGCAUUUGAUUAUUUCCUGGCAUUUCUAAAGAAGAACAGCUUCAGCCUAGGUAAUAACUGACACAAACAGAUCAUUUUGUCACUUUGGUGUAAACUAUUACUCUGGGCUCAAGCAGCUGCUGGGCGAUAAAAAUAAUCAGAACCAUGGAGCAAUGUGAUCUCUCCAGGGAGCCACACCCUAUUCUUUUGGCCCAAGACCAUUUUCCUCAAUGGAGCAUUGGCUCCUGGAAACCAUUGUACUUAAUGGGGCAUUGGCUCCUAGAAACUAUUGUGCUUAAUGGAGCAUUGGCUCCUGGAAACCAUUGUGCCUAACGGAGCAUGGGCUCUGGGUGGCUCCAGGUAUGCUCCUGGAGGGGCUCUGGGGCCACAGACACUGUAGGCUAAACUCCCUCUUAGGAUGGCUGAGUGAAGCCUGUUGGUUGGAAGAGUUGGUCGCUCAGGGAGAGGGAGGGAUUAUGCCAGAGUUGUCACUAGACUACUGAUUUCAUUCAUUAUGUCACUUCCCUAUUGAAAGAUUUUUCAGCGAGUCCCUAUUCUUAAUAGGAUCAGAUACAGGUUCAUUAGGCUGGUGGCCACAUUCCAGUCCCAUAUUGUCUUUUCCAACCCUAUCUCCCACCCUUCAAAUGAUUCAACGCUUCAAGGAUCUGUCAUUUUACUGGUGUGGGAACUCCUUCCACUGACACAGGUUGUAAACCCUCUCUGUGGCUAAGCCUAAACCGACGUUCUUUGAGAGAUACUGUUUUCAAAAGCUUCCAUCACCAUGAGGUCUACUUGGCCCUGAGGCUUUUUGAACUUAGCUUGGCUGGUCCUCAAACAUCAGUCUGUCCUCGGCCCAUCCUUGGAGACUUGCCAAGGGGAUUUACUUAUCCUACCCAUUUCCCUCACCCCCACCCCACCCCGGGGCACAGACUUCAAGGAUCCCAAGUCAUCUUCUCCACACCACAGUGAGACCUCUGAAGAGAGUCACUUGAGCUGAGCUUUACAGAGGAGAUCAGACUUGAACCCUGUCAUCUUUCAAAGGCUUAGCUCAAGCCCUACAUCCUCCAUGAAGCCUUCCCUGACCCACACAAUCUGGGGGGGGGGUCUCCUCUCCCUCUUCUGAACUCAAAAAGCACUUGUCUGUACUGUAUUGUUUAGUUGGCACUCACAUCAUAUACUGUCCAGUGAGUGUUCUUCUAUUGUUGUCUUGUAUUGUUACUCAGCUUAACUUAUGUGUGAGCCUGGGCUCCCUAGCCUAAUGGUGAGCUCAAGUUUGUGUUGAGGGCCGGGAACGUGCUUUAUAUGUCUUUGUAGCUCCCAGGGUAAAUGAGACCUAGCAUUGGGCUAGGCACACAGUUCUCUUGGGUUGGUACUUAUUAUUAUUAUUAUUUGUUAGGCUGGGUUAUUAUUUCUUUGGUUAAAGUCCUAAAAGGAAAAUGUUUCCUUCUGGACCUUAGAGAAGCUCACAAACAUCUCAGUCUUUGGAAUCUUCAACAUUGCUGAACUGUAUUCCCCUUUGGGAUUCAGUCCUUCCUUGGUAGCAAGAGAGGCAUGUUCAACAAAGGGAAAAUAGUUGUGGGAAGACUACGCCAAAUGAGUGUGUACCAUUGGGUGGAAGUCACAGUGGGGAAAUUGUAACCUAGUACUAGGAGCAAUUUUCCUAACAAUCAGAGCUUUCCCACAAUAGAUCAAUGGGCUUUAUAAGAGAGUGAGCUUCCUGACACUGUAAAGUUCCAACAGAGGCUCAGAGAAGCUUCUCUUCCCCCCAACAAUGAUGUCAUAGAGUGGGAAGAUGGAUUAGCUCACUUUGAAAAUCCUUCCCAAUUCUGAGUCUUUACUUAAACACUUUAAGAAUAUUGUGGGUACUCCCUAUAAAUGUUGCGACCCCUCUACAACUUAGAAGUGGGUCUUUAGAGAGUUGCUGUGGGGAGAUCUGUAAGAUGCUCCUCAGCCAGUAGAGCUAUGGUUCUGCAUAGGACACUGUCCUGAGAGUCACAGAGUUUAUAAGGGAGAUGUUAUAGAGAAUCUUGUAAUUGUCACAGCAUUCAAGAGUUGUGAAGGACAGAGCUGGGCCAUCAUAAAAAGGAAAGUCCAUUGGCCAAAGGCUUCUCUUGGACCCUAGCAUGAGGGAAGGGGAUCAUUUUGAAGGGGGACAAAAAAAUUUCUCCAACAGCACCACGCUUGUUGCAGUCUGAGAGCUGACAGCUGGAGAUCUUACUUUCUCCCCCUUCCCUCCUCCUCUUUGCUCACUCCCCCGAUUGAGCUCCUUUUUGGAAGGACUUUCCAAUUUGUUUGUUGGCUGUGCUUGAGAAAGCACUGGCUAGAAUGUGGCCCAAGGCAACCAUAACCAAGCCUCUGCAAUUAGAGACUUGAUUUUUGCCCCUCUUUGGGAACAUUGUGACACUGGCAUGUGUGACUUUCCAGGUGGCUGCAAAGGCAGCAAGAUUUCUUGGUCUGGGGGUAUGAUUAGCAAAGAAGAAGAGGGAGGAGCAAGAAAUUCUCCUACCUAGAAAAGGGCCUUCUCCUGACCCUGAAAAGCAAUCUUAUAACCACAAUAAGGACAGAUCCCAUUAUGGAAGAGUUAAUUAUUUCAAAAAUUGCAAGCCAAACCAUGUCUCCUGACACUGGCUGUAGGCAAAAAUCUGGUAGAAUAUGAUUAGUACAGAACUUACAUAAUAGCUUGGUGCCUUUCCCCCAUUAUAGUGCUGGUUAUAGCCUAUCCAUCAUUUACUACACCAGCAUUAUAUAUGGGUUUUGUUGCAUGCACCAAUAGUAUUGCAACUUAUUUUCAUAGUUUCUUUCAUCCAGGGAAUGCAUCAAAUUCACAGCUAUCACAUUAGGAAUAGUCACAACACCUACAUCAAGGUAAAAGAAGCAGGAACAGUCAAUCUUGUUCUAUUUCAGCAUUAAAUAAUUCAUUGUAAUAAAGAAAAACAAGCAAUAGUCACUAAUUUAGUAACUCAGACAGGAAAUACAAUAGGUUAUACCCAUAGUUGCCCAACUCUCAGUCAAGGGAAGAAGGCAUAUUUCAUUAUCUGGUCCUUGGAACCAACAAGAAUUUGGGUUCCUUUUUUCAUUAUUUUCAUUUAUUGUAUAUAUCUAUAUAUCUAUAUACUCUUCUCUUGAAUAUACUUACUUGAUUAUAUCAGUUUAUAUAGAUCUUCCCGUAUUUUUCUGAAUUUCUCAAAUUUUUUCUUUUUUAUGACAUAAUAAUACUCCAUUACAUGGGUACUGGAAAACAAUUUAUUCAGUCAUUCCCUGAUUGAAGAGCACUUGGUUUAUUUUCCUUUUUUUUUUUUUGGUCAAAAAUAUAUAGUUCAUGUCAUUAGGUAUAACAGGUAUGAUCAGAACCAUUUCAAUUCCACACUGAAUUUGCCUUGUAGCAGGGGAAAACAGUUAGGCAUUAGCAACUCCAAGGUCAUCCUGGCUGACAGUGUAAGCAACACUGUGUAGCUAUAGAUCCAAACCUCUCUUCUCAAGGAGGGGAGGCACAAUGCAUUAAGUGCUCUCUACAACCAAGACUGGUCAUUAUAAUUAGCCAGAGGUUAGCUUCUUUUUAGUGUUUGGUUUUUGUUUUCCAUUUAGAUUAUAGUAGUCAUUGUAUAUAUUGUGCUCCUAAUUGAGCUUACUUUAUUCAUAAGAUCAAAGAAGUCUUUAAAUAUUUCUUCAUUUCCUAAUAUUUCUCCUUUUAUUAUUGUACAAUAAUAUGUUACGUUCGUACGUGAGGACAUGAUUUACUCACCCAUUCCUCUAGGGGAAGGCACCCGGGUUGUUUCCAAUUCUUUACUACAAAGUAUAUUGACAGCACCUAUAAAAAGGUAGAAAGAGCAGGUAUGGUCGUCCCCACUGGAAAUCCACCUUGAACAUGCCUUGUAGCAAAGAAAAACACAAGCAAUAACAACCCAAAGGGUGACCCUGUCAGGCAACGAAUGUAAAAAGAGUGAAACUGUAGAGCCCAAACUCUAAGAUCAAUAGAGAGAGACAUGGGUCAAUAUCUACUCUUGGGGGGAGGGGGGAUUGGUCUUGAAAAUUGUUCAGUUUAGAUUCUUUUUACUUAUAUAUUACUAUAAACAGUGAAAAUAUUUUUAUUUCAGACCUAUUUUCUUUAUAUAAGUUUACUAAAAAUCUUCUAGGAAUUCUCAAAAUUCCUGACAUUCACAUAUUCUUAUAAAAUAGUAUUGAGUUACUAUCAAAAAGAAAGGCUUCAUCAAAAUGUUCUUUUCCUUCACUUGCUUAUUGCAUUCAUUGAACUGACGAAGUUUUAGAAAAAUCCACCAGAGUCUCAACACAUAGGGAGAAAGGUGUCAUGUUUCUUUGUUUACUCUUUGAAAUCUAGAUUGUUCUUUGGAAAUACACAGACAACAAAUUCUUCUUCAUUCUUUUUUCCUUUACAAGAUUAUAGUCAGUAUCUGGUCAGAAAUUUGUCAGUCAUUCUCAUCUGAAAGGUUACUGGGUGAUUUCUAUUUCUAUUUCUAGUCUUGAUUCAGGUAGGAGGAGUAUGAUUGACCUCUCUUAUGUAAGUUCCACCAUUAACUUGCCUUGUAGUAAAACAAAGAAGCAACUGGAGACCUGAGCAAAAAUCAAAGUUAAUGAGAACCCCAUGAAUGAAAAGGCAUCAAAAUGUAAAACUAGAAGAGGGUUCCUUUGUUACCUUUUACAUGUUCACUGACAUACAAAUAAAUAGGUCAAUAUACUGGGAAUUAGAAUAUUAUUUAGACAACAGUUUGCUUUUUUCUUCUUUAUUGAUUAGCAGAAGCCAUAAGAAUAGAGACAAUAACAACUGACUGUCCAGAAUUGUUCAGUUGUAGAGCCUUCAGUUUCAUUUCACAUUGUGGCUAGAAAGUAUAUUAAUUUUGAAAUAAAAAAAGUAAAAUGAGCAUGGUUGUCUACAACUAUGUAAAUGAUACCUAGAACAUGGUUAGAAGAAUAGGGGAGGAAUUAAUCAAUAGCUCAGGAAAAAGUGGCCAUGUUUCGGAGAAAAAAAGUAUUAUUUGAAUUCUUACUCCUAUAGGUCUUUGGAAUAGAAGGAAAAUUGAUUAAUAAUUUUAUUUAAAAGCAUCCAAAUUGGAAACUAUAAACAGAAGAAAACCUAGGAACUAUUUGUUCUUAUUUAUCAAACAAAAAAAGUAGAGUCACUAUGUAGAACUUGGUAUUUUGUUACUUGAGGGCAUACUAUUAACUCAAGCCCAAGGAAAAUGAAAAAAGAGGUCUUUUUUUUUUGUAACAUUCCUUGAGUUAUUUCUCAUGGGAAAAAACCUGAAAAAAUAAUCAGGUGAAAAGAAACACUGUCUACUAUGGCAGGCACCAAAUUGCACCUGACGUUCCCAAUAGCUCCAGUAAGAACAGGACAGCAAUAUUAUGAACAGCUUAAUUUUCCUAGUGUUGGUUCUAUAACUCAAGUAAAGACCUCCUCUUCUUAUUCUAUUACAACAAAGAAAUAAUCUUCAGUGUAAAGAUCAAAAUUUCUCAGUCAGUACUCCUAAAUCUGCCAACAUAUUUCCAUUUCUUUAUAAAAGAGUGCUUCAAUUUCAUCUGGAUCAAGGAGGAAUCUGUCCCUAUGUAUUCCUUGACCUAGCUCUGUAGUGAAGAAAAUUCACUUUCCCAACAAUCAGCCAAAAGGAAACCCUAUCUGAUAGGGUACCCAUCAUAAUACAUACGUAACUCGCCCACCUCAAAGUCAUCUAGUGGUGACAUGGUUCUUUCUUACCAUUCUUCUAUCCUUUCUGUUCAUUUAUUUUAAGUCCAAAAACAACACUUUUGUCUUUUCUGUUUCCUUCUUCUAUAACACACACACACACACACACACACACACACACACACAGGCAGGCAUGCACAUAAAAAUGAACUGCAAAAUGCACAGCCACAUAGCUAUAUACCCAUCAGUCCAGUACACAGACCAUAGUUUAUCAGACAUUCCAGUUUCAUAAAAACACCAUUUUUUUUUGCCAGGGAGGUCUUCCAUUCUGCCAGGAUAAAGAUGGAAUGAGCAUGGCUUUAUACCCCCAUUUGCCUUGCUCCUUGCCUUGGCUACCUAGCAAAGAAAACUAGAGGCAGCUCAAAGAGUCCUCUGUCUACCAGGGGAGGCACAGCACUGCACCUAUGGUUGCUCACCUCUAAAAACAGAGAUGUGGAAACCCACCUGAUAACCUGCUCUCUGAGACCAAGCAGGAUCAUGAUAUCCAGCAAAGUAUAGGUCCACUCACUCCAAUUCUCAGUUUCAUGGCUUUCAUGAGUGGACAGUCAAGGGUUGAUCUGCCAUUUGCCAUUUGAAAGAGGUCCCCAUUUCUUUCCCAAUCUUUGCUACUGAGGGCUAUGUUUACAGCAGGAUCUGGGUAGAAUGAAAAUAGAACUCCACCUCCAUGUAAGUUCCUCCUUGCAUUGGUCCUGCAGCAAAGACCAUACAUUGAAUCAUGACUCAGCUACAUGGUGACCCUGUCUACCAGGGGAGGUACCAUAUUUCACCCAGAGUGCCCCACUUCUGAGCACAGAGUAAGCCCAACAACAUCAAAUGCUCUCUGAGCCCAAGGAGAGUCAUGAUAUCCACUCAGAAGACAGCACUCCUGUCUCCGUUCUUCAGUGGUCAGGAUUUCAGCAGUGUAUGUUUCUAGGUUAGUCAUCCAUUCUCCAGGGGCAGUGCCCUGGUUUCUAAACAGUUAUUUGGUAUUCAAGGUAUCCAUUCUACUGAGAACAAAUGCAAAAGAGCAGUGGGUUCAGACCCUGUGCCUCCUGCCCAAAUCUUAGAGAAAAGAAAACUCAGUGGAACCACAAUCCACCUAAAAUUAACCCCACCUGCUAAAAUAGGAGUCCUAUUGCAUUUAGAGUUGCUUAUCUUUCUCACCAGACAUAGGCAGCAGAUAUACUAGCUGGUAAUCUCUCUACACUACUGAUCACUCUAAUGACUCAUGCAGACCCAUACUCCUGCUCUUUUGCCCCCAUCACAUAAUUCUCAGUGAAGAAACAAAAGUCUCUCAGCCAUUCUCCAUCCAUAGAUCAACCAAUUCAUUUCCACUUCUUUGUUACACGGUGCUUCCAUUCCACCAUGAUCAAGGAGUCAUCAAGAAGUCAGACACAUGGGUGUCUGACUUCAUUUGAGAUGAUCCUUAAUCUAGUCCUGUAGUAAAAAAUAAAAUUCAGUUGCCCAACAGUCAACCAAAAGGAAGCCCUGUCUGACAGAGUAGGCACUACAUUAUACCUAGAGUCCCCCACCACAAAACCCUAUGGUUGUGGCAUGUUUCUUUCUAACCAUUCUUCUAUCCUUAUGUUUCACACAAUUUAAGUCCAAAAACAUCAAUUUCAUUUUCCCUGUUUCUUCCUCCAUAAUAUACUUACAUGCACAAAAAGAUACACAAACACACACAAAAGAGGAAAAACAGAUCCACAGAUCAAACAUGAAUAAAUGAAAUGCAAAAUACUCAAUAACAUAGAGACUCAGUACAUUGCACAGACCAUGGUUUGUUAAACAUUUUAAAUGCCAGAAAAAAAUCUCAUUUUCUUAUACAAGUACUUUUUAAGGGAGACCUUGGAUUCUAUCAGGAUGAAUGCACAAUGAUCAUGGCAUUGUACCCUCUCUCUUGCUCCUUGCCUUGGCCACUUAGCAAAGAAAAUUGAAGGUAGAUUAAAGGUGCCUCUCUCUACUAGCAGGGGCACCACAUUGCAUACAUAGUUGCCAACCCAUAAGCACAGAGGUGUGGAAACACCACUACCAACAUGCUCCCUGAGACCAAGCAGGGUUGGGAUAUAUAGUCAGAGGGCAGGUCUUCUCACUCAAUUUGUAAGUUGCAUGUUUUCCAUCAAUGAAUGGGUCAAGGGUUGGUCUCUCAUUUCCCACUUAAAGAAAGUCAACAUUUCUUUCCCAGGCUUUGCAACUCAGGGCUAUCUUUACUAUAGGAUCAAGUAGAAUGAAAUUAGGACUCUACUUACAAAAAUUUACUUCUUGGAUUACUCCUAUAACAAAGACCAAAUAUUGAAUCAUGACUCAGCUUGAAAGUGACUACCAAGAGUACUACACAGUGCCCCAUCACAAAGUAUAAAGGUAUUAUUGGAUUCUAGACCAGUGAAAUUUGACCAAUACUCAAAAGCAGAAAAAAGAAAACACAUUAAAACCACAAUUGAAAUUUAAAAAAAGGAAAACAAAUGAGGAAAUAGGUCUCAAUUAAAACAGACUUCUUUCAUUUUUCAAGGAAGAUCAGUGGUGGGAAAAUGAAGUUUUCAGGCAUUGUUCAAACAUAGGACCACCAGUCUGUUUCGCUUACUUUGUGACAUAUGGUUUCCAUUUUAACCUAACCUAGGAGCAGUCUACAUGAAUGUGUUCUGCCAGGUUGAAUGCUCCAUGACCAAGCACUCUAGCAAAGGAAAUUCACUUUCCCAGUAGUCAAUCAAAAGGGAUCCUGUCUGACAGAGUAGGCAUCACAUUGCACCCAUAGUCCCUGAAGUAGCAACUAAGGGGUGGGGACAUUCUUUAUAACUUUUAUUCUUCUAUCCUUGUUGGAUUUGAAUUCACUGAUACAGAGGCUUCCUUUCUCUCUUCUUUGACCUCCAACCCACGACUGUCAGUAAAGUUUGGAUCAUCAUUUCUAAUAUCCUUUUUGUCAGACUUACUACAAUCUAAAUUCAAUGACAAUGGCCUUAGCAGCAUUUCACUCUUGUUUAGCUUCCCACACCAAAACAUCAUGCAAAUUGCAAAGGUUACUCAAUUAUUCUCUACCCAUAGGAGAAUCAGUUUAAUUCCUCUUCUUUGAGACACAGUUCUUCAAUUCUGAUGGAAUCCAAGAGACAUCCACUUAAGUGUCGACCCACAUGUCAGUUGCUCCUUAAACAAGACCUUGGGAAAAGGAAAUUCAUUCCCCUAAGAGCAAGAAAAAAGGUAAUCCGGUCUGAAAGGUGAGAACCCAUAUUGCACCAUUAGAUGUCCACCUUGCAUCAAAAUAUGGGGGCAACAUUUCUGAUUUCCAUAAUACCAAUGUUGCUAGCCUCUUAAUUAAUUGAUAUUGAGGCUUUCUCUUUUGCUUUGCUCUGCCACCAACACUUAAUAAUCAGAAAAAACCCAGUGGUUUUCCAAAAGUUUAUCCUGGGUAGGACAACUGGUUUGCUUUGACAUUCUGACACAUUGUUUCACAAAUGAAAGUGCAGGGAUUCAGGAAACAUUGCUGAUAUCAUUACAGGAAACUUCAACAGUUGCUGAAUUCAUUAACAACAAAGAAUUCUUCAUUUCAUUCCUGUACCAUCAAAACAUUCACCAUCAUUCAAUGACACAGGUUUCUCAGCUAUUCCAGGCCCCUAGGGGGACCAGUUUCUAUUCACUCCUUUGUCACAUGAAGCUUCGAUUUCACCAUUAACCAAGAGACAUGAACAUGAUUGUUCCAUGACAAGAAGAUGCAACUUCAAGCCCUAUAGCAAAGGAAAUUCACCCUAUAAACAAUCAUUAAAUAGGGAAUCUGGCCAGGCAGGAUUAACAAACCCUGAACUCAAAAUUUCCUAAAUUGUAGCCCAGGUAUAGGGGCACUAUUUCUGAUAUUCUUUAUCUACAACUUAUUGAUUUACACACUCAUUGACAGAAAAGCUUCCUUUAAUGAUUUCCUCUGGCCUCCAACACGAAAUCCUCAAUUGAAUAUCUUAGGUAUUUCAGUAAUUCUCCUGCCAUAGGGUCACCGGAGUAUUUCCAAACCCUUGUCACGUGAAGCUUCCAUUCUAUCAUACCUCAGGAUGCUUCCACACAGUUCUUUCAUGGAAUUUGGAAGAUUCUGAUUGAAUACAUAUAGCAAAGGAAUUUCACUCUCCCAACACACAACAAAUAUGGAAACUUAUCUAACAGGGAUUACACCAUAUUACACCCGAAAUCUCCCACCUAGUAGCCCAGAGGUGUGGGCAAUAUUCCUAAUAUUCUUUCUUUACAACAUAAACGGUCCAUUCAUUGAAAGCAAGACUUCUUUAAUUCAUUCUUUUGUCUUCCAAAGAUAAAUCCUCAGGUGAAAAGAUAUGGUUGUCAACCAUUCUCUUCCCCUAGAUCCACCUGUACUUUCCACUCAUUUGUCACAUAAGACUUCCAUUCCACCAUAACUUGGUGCUUCCACACACUUCUUUCAUGGAUGGUGGGACCUUCGAUGGAAACCCUAGAGCAAAGGAAUUUCACUCUCCCAAUAGUAAACAUAUAAGGAACACUGUCUAAUAGGGAGAACACCAUAUUUCAUUGAAAGUCAGCCACCUUGCAGCCCAGAGGUGGGGGCAAUAUUUCUAAUGUUCAUUCUAUACAACUUAUUAGGCACUCCAUUAAUUGACAGCGAGACUUCUUUUAAUUCGUUCUUCAGUCUUCCAAAGAUAAAUCCUCAGAUAGCAAGAUCAGGUUUGUCAACCAUUCUCCUCCCGUAGGGCCACUGGUUUGGUUCCACUCCUUUGUCACAUGAGGCAUCCAUUCCACCAUAACACAGAAUGCUUACACACAGCUCUUCAUGGACUGUGGGAGAUUCUGGUUGAAGCCCUGUAGAAAAAGAAUUUCACAUUCCCAAUUGUCAACAAAUAAGGAACCCUGUGUAACAGGGAUGAGACCAUAUUUCACCUGAAGUCUCCAAACUUCCAGCCCUGAGAAGGGGGCAAUAUUUCUAAUAAUCUCUCUAUACAAAAUGUAAGACUCUCCAUUCAUGGCCAGUGAGACUUCCGUUAAAAUUUUCUUCUAGCCUCCAAACGUUAACACUCAUAUAAAAAGAUCAGGUUUGUCAACAAUUCUCCUUCUCUAGGGCCACAGAUUAGUUUACACUCCUUUGUCACAUGAGACUUUCAUUCCAUCAAAACUCAGGAUGCCCCUUCAUGGUUCUUAGAUGAGCUGUGGAAGAUGUUGAUUGAAGCCCUGUAGCAAAGGAAAUUCACUCUCCCAACAGUCAACAAAUGAGGAACUUUGUCUAAAAAGGAUGACCACAUUUCACCUGAAGUCUCCCAACUUGCAGCCCCAGGGUAAGGGCAAUAUUUCUCAUUUUCUUUUUAUACAAUUUAAUAGACUCUCCAUUCAUUGACAGUGAGACUUCUUUUAAUUCUUUCUUCUGGAUUCAAACCCUAAAACCUCAGGUGAAAAGCUCAGGUUUGUCGAUAAUUCUCUUCCAAAUGGGCCACCAGUUUGUUUCCACUCCUUGUCACAUGAGACUUCCAUUCCACCUCAAUACAGAAUGUUUCCACAUCUCUCUUACAUGUAAUGUGGAAGCAUUCUAGCAAAGGAAUUUCACUGUUCCAACAGUCAACAAAUAAGGAACCCUGUCUAACAGGGAUGACACCACAUUUCAAGUGAAGUCUCCCACCUUGCAGCCCUGAGAUGGGGGCAAUAUUUCUAAUAAUCUCCCUAUACACCUUGUAAAAUUCUCCAUUAAUUGAUAGUGAGGCUUAUGUUAAAAAUUUCUUUAACCUCCAACCUUUUUCCUCAGUUUAAAAGCUCAGGUCUCUCAACAAUUGUCCAUCUGUAGGGCCACCGGUUUAUUUCUACUACUUUGUCACAUGAGACAUUCAUUCCAUCAAAGCUCAGGAUGCAUCUUCAUGGUUCAUAGAUGAGCUGAGGAAGAUGCAGAUUGAUGCCCUGUACCAAGGAAAUUCACUCUCCCAACAGUCAAAAAAUGAGUAAUCUUGUCUAACAAGGAUGACACAACAUUUCACCCAAAGUCUCCGAACUUGCAGCCCUAAGACGAGGGCAAGAUUUCCAUUACUCUCUCUAUACAGCUUGUUACACUCUCCAUUCAUUGACAGCGAGGCUUCCAUUUACAUUUUCUUUUAGACUCCAACCCUUAUUCCUCAGUUUAAAAGCUCAGGUUUCUCACCAAUUCUCCUUCUGUAGGGCCACCGGUUUGUUUCCACUCCUUUGUUACAUGAGGCUUCCAUUCCAUCAAAACUCAGGAUGCAUCUUCAUGGUUCUUAGAUGAGCUGUGGAAGAUGCUGAUUGAAGCCCUGUAAGACAGGAAAUUCACUCUCCCAACAGUCAAAAAAUAUGGAACCUUGUCUCCCAAGGAUGACACCAUAUUUCACCUGAAGUCUCCCACCUAGCAGCCCAGGGGUGGGGGCAAUAUUUCUCAUUUGCUUUUUUGCAACUUAUUAGACUCUCUAUUCAUUAACAGAGAGAAUUCUUUUACUUCUAUCUCCUGUUUUCCAAACAUAAAUCCUCAGGUUAAAAGAUCAGGUUUGUCAACCAUUCUCCUCCUGUAGGGCCACCGGUUUGUUUCCACUCCGUUGUUACAUGAGGCUUCCAUUCCAUCGAAACUCAGAAUGCACCUUCAUGGUUCUUAGAUGAGCUGUGGAAGAUGCUGAUUGAAGCCCUGUAAGAAAGGAAAUUCACUCGCCCAACAGUCAAAAAAUAAGGAACCUUGUCUAACAAGGAUGACACCACAUUUCACCUGAAGUCUCCCACCUGGCAGCCCAGGGGUGGGGGCAAUAUUUCUCAUUUGCUUUUUAUACUACUUAUUAGACUCUCCAUUCAUUAACAGUGAGAAUUCUUUUACUUCUAUCUCCUGUUUUCCAAACAUAAAUCCUCAGGUUAAAAGAUCAGGUUUGUCAACCAUUCCCCUCCCGUAGGGCCACCGGUUUGUUUCCACUCCUUUGUCACAUGAGGCUUCCAUUCCACCAUAAAUCAGGAUGUUUCCACAGAGCUCUUCAAGGGACUGUGGGAGAUUCUGCUUGAAGCCCUGUAGCAAAAGAAUUUCACUCUCCCAACAGUCAACAAAUAAGGAACCCUGUCUAACAGGGAUGACACCACAUUUCACCUGAAGUCUCCCACCUUGCAGCCCUGAGAUGGGGGCAAUAUUUCUAAUAAUCACUCUAUACAACAUGUUAGACUCUCCUUUCAUUGACAGCGAGGCUUCCUUUUACAUUUUCUUUUAGCCUCCAAACCUUAUUCCUCUGUUUAAAACCUCAAGUUUGUCAACAAUUGUCCAUCUGUAGGGCCACUGGUUUGUUUCAACUCUUUUGUCACAUGAGACUUUCAUUCCAUCAAAACUCAGGAUGCUUCUUCAUGGUUCUUAGAUGAGCUGGGGAAGAUGCUGAUUGAAACCCUACAGCAAAGUUAAUUCACUCUCCCAACAGUCAAAAUAUAAGGAACCUUGUCUCCCAAGGAUGACACCACAUUUCUUCUGAAUUCUCCCACCUGGCAGCCUAGGGUUGGGGGCAAUAUUUCUCAUUUUCUUUUUAUACUACUUAUUUGACUCUCCAUUCAUUGACAAUGAGACUUCUUUUAAUUCUUUCUUCUGUCUUCCAAACAUAAAUCCUCAGGUUAAAAGAUCUGGUUAGUCAACCAUUCUCCUCCCGUAGGGCCACCGGUUUGUUUCCACUCCUUUGUUACAUGAGGCUUCUACUCCAUCAAAACUCAGGAUGCAUCUUCAUGGUUCUUAGAUGAGCUGUGGAAGAUGCUGAUUGAAGCCCUGUAAGAAAGGAAAUUCACUCUCCCAACAGUCAAAAAAUAAGGAACCUUGUCUAACAAGGAUGACACCACAUUUCACCUGAAGUCUCCCACCUGGCAGCCCAGGGGUGGGGGCAAUAUUUCUCAUUUGCUUUUUAUACUACUUAUUAGACUCUCCAUUCAUUGACAGCGAGGCUUCUUUCAAUUCUUUUUCUGUCUUCCAAACAUAAAUCCUCAGGUUAAAAGAUCUGGUUAGUCAACCAUUCUCCUCCCGUAGGGCCACCGGUUUGUUUCCACUCCUUUGUUACAUGAGGCUUCUAUUCCAUCAAAACUCAGGAUGCAUCUUCAUGGUUCUUAGAUGAGCUGGGGAAGAUGCUGAUUGAAGUCCUGUAGCAAAGGAAAUUCACUCUCCCAACAGUCAACAAAUAAGGAACCCUGUCUAACAGGGAUGACACCACAUAUGCACCGAAGUCUCCCACUUUGCAGCCCAAGGGUGGGGGCAAUAUUUCCAUUACUCUCUCUAUACAGCUUGUUAGACUCUCCAUUCAUUGACAGCGAGGCUUCCAUUUACAUUUUCUUUUAGCCUCCAACCCUUAUUCCUCAGUUUAAAAGCUCAGGUUUCUCACCAAUUCUCCUUCUGUAGGGCCACCGGUUUAUUUCCACUCCUUUGUUACAUGAGGCUUCCAUUCCAUCAAAACUCAGGAUGCAUCUUCAUGGUUCUUAGAUGAGCUGUGGAAGAUGCUGAUUGAAGCCCUGUAAGAAAGGAAAUUCACUCUCCCAACAGUCAACAAAUUAGGAACCUUGUCUAACAAGGUGACACCACAUAUCACCUGAAGUCUCCCACCUAGCAGCCCAGGGGUGGGGGCAAUAUUUCUCAUUUGCUUUUUAUGCAACUUAUUAGACUCUCUAUUCAUUAACAGAGAGAAUUCUUUUACUUCUAUCUCCUGUUUUCCAAACAUAAAUCCUCAGGUUAAAGAUCAGGUUUGUCAACCAUUCUCCUCCUGUAGGGCCACCGGUUUGUUUCCACUCCGUUGUUACAUGAGGCUUCCAUUCCAUCGAAACUCAGAAUGCACCUUCAUGGUUCUUAGAUGAGCUGUGGAAGAUGCUGAUUGAAGCCCUGUAAGAAAGGAAAUUCACUCUCCCAACAGUCAAAAAAUAAGGAACCUUGUCUAACAAGGAUGACACCACAUUUCACCUGAAGUCUCCCACCUGGCAGCCCAGGGGUGGGGGCAAUAUUUCUCAUUUGCUUUUUAUACUACUUAUUAGACUCUCCAUUCAUUAACAGUGAGAAUUCUUUUACUUCUAUCUCCUGUUUUCCAAACAUAAAUCCUCAGGUUAAAAAUCAGGUUUGUCAACCAUUCUCCUCCCGUAGGGCCACCGGUUUGUUUCCACUCCUUUGUCACAUGAGGCUUCCAUUCCACCAUAAAUCAGGAUGUUUCCACAGAGCUCUUCAAGGGACUGUGGGAGAUUCUGGUUGAAGCCCUGUAGCAAAAGAAUUUCACUCUCCCAACAGUCAACAAAUAAGGAACCCUGUCUAACAGGGAUGACACCACAUUUCACCUGAAGUCUCCCACCUUGCAGCCCUGAGAUGGGGGCAAUAUUUCUAAUAAUCACUCUAUACAACUUGUUAGACUCUCCUUUCAUUGACAGCGAGGCUUCCUUUUACAUUUUCUUUUAGCCUCCAAACCUUAUUCCUCUGUUUAAAACCUCAAGUUUGUCAACAAUUGUCCAUCUGUAGGGCCACUGGUUUGUUUCAACUCUUUUGUCACAUGAGACUUUCAUUCCAUCAAAACUCAGGAUGCUUCUUCAUGGUUCUUAGAUGAGCUGGGGAAGAUGCUGAUUGAAACCCUACAGCAAAGUUAAUUCACUCUCCCAACAGUCAAAAUAUAAGAAACUUUAUCUCACAAGGAUGACACCACAUUUCUUCUGAAUUCUCCCACCUGGCAGCCUAGGGUUGGGGGCAAUAUUUCUCAUUUUCUUUUUAUACUACUUAUUUGACUCUCCAUUCAUUGACAAUGAGACUUCUUUUAAUUCUUUCUUCUGUCUUCCAAACAUAAAUCCUCAGGUUAAAAGAUCUGGUUAGUCAACCAUUCUCCUCCCGUAGGGCCACCGGUUUGUUUCCACUCCUUUGUUACAUGAGGCUUCUAUUCCAUCAAAACUCAGGAUGCAUCUUCAUGGUUCUUAGAUGAGCUGUGGAAGAUGCUGAUUGAAGCCCUGUAAGAAAGGAAAUUCACUCUCCCAACAGUCAAAAAAUAAGGAACCUUGUCUAACAAGGAUGACACCACAUUUCACCUGAAGUCUCCCACCUGGCAGCCCCGGGGUGGGGGCAAUAUUUCUCAUUUGCUUUUUAUACUACUUAUUAGACUCUCCAUUCAUUGACAGCAAGGCUUCUUUCAAUUCUUUUUCUGCCUUCCAAACAUAAAUCCUCAGGUUAAAAGAUCUGGUUAGUCAACCAUUCUCCUCCCGUAGGGCCACCGGUUUGUUUCCACUCCUUUCUUACAUGAGGCUUCUAUUCCAUCAAAACUCAGGAUGCAUCUUCAUGGUUCUUAGAUGAGCUGGGGAAGAUGCUGAUUGAAGUCCUGUAAGAAAGGAAAUUCACUCUCCCAACAGUCAACAAAUAAGGAACCCUGUCUAACAGGGAUGACACCACAUAUGCACCGAAGUCUCCCACUUUGCAGCCCAGGGUUGGGGGCAAUAUUUCCAUUACUCUCUCUAUACAGCUUGUUAGACUCUCCAUUCAUUGACAGCGAGGCUUCCAUUUACAUUUUCUUUUAGCCUCCAACCCUUAUUCCUCAGUUUAAAAGCUCAAGUUUCUCACCAAUUCUCCUUCUGUAGGGCCACCGGUUUAUUUCCACUCCUUUGUUACAUGUGGCUUCCAUUCCAUCAAAACUCAGGAUGCAUCUUCAUGGUUCUUAGAUGAGCUGUGGAAGAUGCUGAUUGAAGCCCUGUAAGAAAGGAAAUUCACUCUCCCAACAGUCAACAAAUCAGGAACCUUGUCUAACAAGGUGACACCACAUAUCACCUGAAGUCUCCAACCUAGCAGCCCAGGGGUGGGGGCAAUAUUUCUCAUUUGCUUUUUAUGCAACUUAUUAGACUCUCUAUUCAUUAAGAGAGAGAAUUCUUUUACUUCUAUCUCCUGUUUUCCAAACAUAAAUCCUCAGGUUAAAAGAUCAGGUUUGUCAACCAUUCUCCUCCUGUAGGGCCACCGGUUUGUUUCCACUCCGUUGUUACAUGAGGCUUCCAUUCCAUCGAAACUCAGAAUGCACCUUCAUGGUUCUUAGAUGAGCUGUGGAAGAUGCUGAUUGAAGCCCUGUAAGAAAGGAAAUUUACUCUCCCAACAGUCAAAAAAUAAGGAACCUUGUCUAACAGGGAUGACACCACAUAUUACCUGAAGUCUCCCACCUGGCAGCCCAGGGUUGGGGGCAAUAUUUCUCAUUUCCUUUUUAUACUACUUAUUAGACUCUCAAUUCAAUAACAGUGAGAAUUCUUUUACUUCUAUCUCCUCUUUUCCAAACAUAAAUCCUGAGGUUAAAAGAUCAGGUUUGUCAACCAUUCUCCUCCCGUAGGGCCACCAGUUUGUUUCCACUCCUUUGUCACAUGAGGCUUCCAUUCCACCAUAAAUCAGGAUGUUUCCACAGAGCUCUUCAAGGGACUGUGGGAGAUUCUGGUUGAAGCCCUGUAGCAAAAGAAUUUCACUCUCCCAACAGUCAACAAAUAAGGAACCCUGUCUAACAGGGAUGACACCACAUUUCACCUGAAGUCUCCCACCUUGCAGCCCUGAGAUGGGGGCAAUAUUUCUAAUAAUCACUCUAUACAACUUGUUAGACUCUCCUUUCAUUGACAGCGAGGCUUCCUUUUACAUUUUCUUUUAGCCUCCAAACCUUAUUCCUCUGUUUAAAACCUCAAGUUUGUCAACAAUUGUCCAUCUGUAGGGCCACUGGUUUGUUUCAACUCUUUUGUCAAAUGAGACUUUCAUUCCAUCAAAACUCAGGAUGCUUCUUCAUGGUUCUUAGAUGAGCUGGGGAAGAUGCUGAUUGAAACCCUACAGCAAAGUUAAUUCACUCUCCCAACAGUCAAAAUAUAAGGAACCUUGUCUCCCAAGGAUGACACCACAUUUCUUCUGAAUUCUCCCACCUGGCAGCCUAGGGUUGGGGGCAAUAUUUCUCAUUUUCUUUUUAUACUAUUUAUUUGACUCUCCAUUCAUUGACAGAGAGAAUUCUUUUAAUUCUUUCUUCUGUCUUCCAAACAUAAAUCCUCAGGUUAAAAGAUCUGGUUAGUCAACCAUUCUCCUCCCGUAGGGCCACCGGUUUGUUUCCACUCCUUUGUUACAUGAGGCUUCUAUUCCAUCAAAACUCAGGAUGCAUCUUCAUGGUUCUUAGAUGAGCUGGGGAAGAUGCUGAUUGAAGUCCUGUAGCAAAGGAAAUUCACUCUCCCAACAGUCAACAAAUAAGGAACCCUGUCUAACAGGGAUGACACCACAUAUGCACCGAAGUCUCCCACUUUGCAGCCCAGGGUUGGGGGCAAUAUUUCCAUUACUCUCUCUAUACAGCUUGUUAGACUCUCCAUUCAUUGACAGCGAGGCUUCCAUUUACAUUUUCUUUUAGCCUCCAACCCUUAUUCCUCAGUUUAAAAGCUCAGGUUUCUCACCAAUUCUCCUUCUGUAGGGCCACCGGUUUAUUUCCACUCCUUUGUUACAUGAGGCUUCCAUUCCAUCAAAACUCAGGAUGCAUCUUCAUGGUUCUUAGAUGAGCUGUGGAAGAUGCUGAUUGAAGCCCUGUAAGAAAGGAAAUUCACUCUCCCAACAGUCAACAAAUCAGGAACCUUGUCUAACAAGGUGACACCACAUAUCACCUGAAGUCUCCCACCUAGCAGCCCAGGGGUGGGGGCAAUAUUUCUCAUUUGCUUUUUAUGCAACUUAUUAGACUCUCUAUUCAUUAAGAGAGAGAAUUCUUUUACUUCUAUCUCCUGUUUUCCAAACAUAAAUCCUCAGGUUAAAAGAUCAGGUUUGUCAACCAUUCUCCUCCUGUAGGGCCACCGGUUUGUUUCCACUCCGUUGUUACAUGAGGCUUCCAUUCCAUCGAAACUCAGAAUGCACCUUCAUGGUUCUUAGAUGAGCUGUGGAAGAUGCUGAUUGAAGCCCUGUAAGAAAGGAAAUUCACUCUCCCAACAGUCAAAAAAUAAGGAACCUUGUCUAACAAGGAUGACACCACAUUUCACCUGAAGUCUCCCACCUGGCAGCCCAGGGGUGGGGGCAAUAUUUCUCAUUUCCUUUUUAUACUACUUAUUAGACUCUCCAUUCAUUAACAGUGAGAAUUCUUUUACUUCUAUCUCCUGUUUUCCAAACAUAAAUCCUCAGGUUAAAAAUCAGGUUUGUCAACCAUUCUCCUCCUGUAGGGCCACCGGUUUGUUUCCACUCCUUUGUCACAUGAGGCUUCCAUUCCACCAUAAAUCAGGAUGUUUCCACAGAGCUCUUCAAGGGACUGUGGGAGAUUCUGGUUGAAGCCCUGUAGCAAAAGAAUUUCACUCUCCCAACAGUCAACAAAUAAGGAACCCUGUCUAACAGGGAUGACACCACAUUUCACCUGAAGUCUCCCACCUUGCAGCCCUGAGAUGGGGGCAAUAUUUCUAAUAAUCACUCUAUACAACUUGUUAGACUCUCCUUUCAUUGACAGCGAGGCUUCCUUUUACAUUUUCUUUUAGCCUCCAAACCUUAUUCCUCUGUUUAAAACCUCAAGUUUGUCAACAAUUGUCCAUCUGUAGGGCCACUGGUUUGUUUCAACUCUUUUGUCACAUGAGACUUUCAUUCCAUCAAAACUCAGGAUGCUUCUUCAUGGUUCUUAGAUGAGCUGGGGAAGAUGCUGAUUGAAACCCUACAGCAAAGUUAAUUCACUCUCCCAACAGUCAAAAUAUAAGGAACCUUGUCUCCCAAGGAUGACACCACAUUUCUUCUGAAUUCUCCCACCUGGCAGCCUAGGGUUGGGGGCAAUAUUUCUCAUUUUCUUUUUAUACUACUUAUUUGACUCUCCAUUCAUUGACAAUGAGACUUCUUUUAAUUCUUUCUUCUGUCUUCCAAACAUAAAUCCUCAGGUUAAAAGAUCUGGUUAGUCAACCAUUCUCCUCCCGUAGGGCCACCGGUUUGUUUCCACUCCUUUGUUACAUGAGGCUUCUAUUCCAUCAAAACUCAGGAUGCAUCUUCAUGGUUCUUAGAUGAGCUGUGGAAGAUGCUGAUUGAAGCCCUGUAAGAAAGGAAAUUCACUCUCCCAACAGUCAAAAAAUAAGGAACCUUGUCUAACAAGGAUGACACCACAUUUCACCUGAAGUCUCCCACCUGGCAGCCCAGGGGUGGGGGCAAUAUUUCUCAUUUGCUUUUUAUACUACUUAUUAGACUCUCCAUUCAUUGACAGCGAGGCUUCUUUCAAUUCUUUUUCUGCCUUCCAAACAUAAAUCCUCAGGUUAAAAGAUCUGGUUAGUCAACCAUUCUCCUCCCGUAGGGCCACCGGUUUGUUUCCACUCCUUUCUUACAUGAGGCUUCUAUUCCAUCAAAACUCAGGAUGCAUCUUCAUGGUUCUUAGAUGAGCUGGGGAAGAUGCUGAUUGAAGCCCUGUAGCAAAGGAAAUUCACUCUCCCAACAGUCAACAAAUAAGGAACCCUGUCUAACAGGGAUGACACCACAUAUGCACCAAAGUCUCCCACUUUGCAGCCCAGGGGUGGGGGCAAUAUUUCCAUUACUCUCUCUAUACAGCUUGUUAGACUCUCCAUUCAUUGACAGCGAAGCUUCCAUUUACAUUUUCUUUUAGCCUCCAACCCUUAUUCCUCAGUUUAAAAGCUCAGGUUUCUCACCAAUUCUCCUUCUGUAGGGCCACCCAUUUAUUUCCACUCCUUUGUUACAUGAGGCUUCCAUUCCAUCAAAACUCAGGAUGCAUCUUUAUGGUUCUUAGAUGAGCUGUGGAAGAUGCUGAUUGAAGCCCUGUAAGAAAGGAAAUUCACUCUCCCAACAGUCAACAAAUCAGGAACCUUGUCUAACAAGGUGACACCACAUAUCACCUGAAGUCUCCGACCUGGCAGCCCAGGGAUGGGGGCAAUAUUUCUCAUUUGCUUUUUAUACAACUUAUUAGACUCUCCAUACAUUAACAGAGAGAAUUCUAUUACUUCUAUCUCCUGUUUUCCAAACAUAAAUCCUCAGGUUAAAAGAUCAGGUUUGUCAACCAUUCUCCUCCUGUAGGGCCACCGGUUUGUUUCCACUCCUUUGUUACAUGAGGCUUCCAUUCCAUCAAAACUCAGGAUGCAUCUUCAUGGUUCUUAGAUGAGCUGGGGAAGAUGCUGAUUGAAGCCCUGUAGCAAAGGAAAUUCACUCCCCCAACAGUCAACAAAUAAGGAACCCUGUCUAACAGGGAUGACACCACAUAUGCACCGAAGUCUCCCACUUUGCAGCCCAGGGGUGGGGGCAAUAUUUCCAUUACUCUCUCUAUACAGCUUGUUAGACUCUCCAUUCAUUGACAGCGAGGCUUCCAUUUACAUUUUCUUUUAGCCUCCAACCCUUAUUCCUCAGUUUAAAAGCUCAGGUUUCUCACCAAUUCUCCUCCCGUAGGGCCACCAGUUUGUUUCCACUCCUUUGUCACAUGAGGCUUCCAUUCCACCAUAAAUCAGGAUGUUUCCACAGAGCUCUUCAAGGGACUGUGAGAGAUUCUGGUUGAAGCCCUGUAGCAAAAGAAUUUCACUCUCCCAACAGUCAACAAAUAAGGAACCCUGUCUAACAGGGAUGACACCACAUUUCACCUGAAGUCUCCCACCUUGCAGCCCUGAGAUGGGGGCAAUAUUUCUAAUAAUCACUCUAUACAACUUGUUAGACUCUCCUUUCAUUGACAGCGAGGCUUCCUUUUACAUUUUCUUUUAGCCUCCAAACCUUAUUCCUCUGUUUAAAACCUCAAGUUUGUCAACAAUUGUCCAUUUGUAGGGCCACUGGUUUGUUUCAACUCUUUUGUCACAUGAGACUUUCAUUCCAUCAAAACUCAGGAUGCUUCUUCAUGGUUCUUAGAUGAGCUGGGGAAGAUGCUGAUUGAAACCCUACAGCAAAGUUAAUUCACUCUCCCAACAGUCAAAAUAUAAGAAACUUUAUCUCACAAGGAUGACACCACAUUUCUUCUGAAUUCACCCACCUGGCAGCCUAGGGUUGGGGGCAAUAUUUCUCAUUUUCUUUUUAUACUACUUAUUUGACUCUCCAUUCAUUGACAAUAAGACUUCUUUUAAUUCUUUCUUCUGUCUUCCAAACAUAAAUCCUCAGGUUAAAAGAUCUGGUUAGUCAACCAUUCUCCUCCCGUAGGGCCACCGGUUUGUUUCCACUCCUUUGUUACAUGAGGCUUCUAUUCCAUCAAAACUCAGGAUGCAUCUUCAUGGUUCUUACAUGAGCUGUGGAAGAUGCUGAUUGAAGCCCUGUAAGAAAGGAAAUUCACUCUCCCAACAGUCAAAAAAUAAGGAACCUUGUCUAACAAGGAUGACACCACAUUUCACCUGAAGUCUCCCACCUGGCAGCCCAGGGGUGGGGGCAAUAUUUCUCAUUUGCUUUUUAUACUACUUAUUAGACUCUCCAUUCAUUGACAGCGAGGCUUCUUUCAAUUCUUUUUCUGCCUUCCAAACAUAAAUCCUCAGGUUAAAAGAUCUGGUUAGUCAACCAUUCUCCUCCCGUAGGGCCACCGGUUUGUUUCCACUCCUUUCUUACAUGAGGCUUCUAUUCCAUCAAAACUCAGGAUGCAUCUUCAUGGUUCUUAGAUGAGCUGGGGAAGAUGCUGAUUGAAGUCCUGUAAGAAAGGAAAUUCACUCUCCCAACAGUCAACAAAUAAGGAACCCUGUCUAACAGGGAUGACACCACAUAUGCACCGAAGUCUCCCACUUUGCAGCCCAGGGUUGGGGGCAAUAUUUCCAUUACUCUCUCUAUACAGCUUGUUAGACUCUCCAUUCAUUGACAGCGAGGCUUCCAUUUACAUUUUCUUUUAGCCUCCAACCCUUAUUCCUCAGUUUAAAAGCUCAAGUUUCUCACCAAUUCUCCUUCUGUAGGGCCACCGGUUUAUUUCCACUCCUUUGUUACAUGUGGCUUCCAUUCCAUCAAAACUCAGGAUGCAUCUUCAUGGUUCUUAGAUGAGCUGUGGAAGAUGCUGAUUGAAGCCCUGUAAGAAAGGAAAUUCACUCUCCCAACAGUCAACAAAUCAGGAACCUUGUCUAACAAGGUGACACCACAUAUCACCCGAAGUCUCCCACCUAGCAGCCCAGGGGUGGGGGCAAUAUUUCUCAUUUGCUUUUUAUGCAACUUAUUAGACUCUCUAUUCAUUAAGAGAGAGAAUUCUUUUACUUCUAUCCCCUGUUUUCCAAACAUAAAUCCUCAGGUUAAAAGAUCAGGUUUGUCAACCAUUCUCCUCCUGUAGGGCCACCGGUUUGUUUCCACUCCGUUGUUACAUGAGGCUUCCAUUCCAUCGAAACUCAGAAUGCACCUUCAUGGUUCUUAGAUGAGCUGUGGAAGAUGCUGAUUGAAGCCCUGUAAGAAAGGAAAUUUACUCUCCCAACAGUUAAAAAAUAAGGAACCUUGUCUAACAGGGAUGACACCACAUAUUACCUGAAGUCUCCCACCUGGCAGCCCAGGGGUGGGGGCAAUAUUUCUCAUUUCCUUUUUAUACUAUUUAUUAGACUCUCAAUUCAAUAACAGUGAGAAUUCUUUUACUUCUAUCUCCUGUUUUCCAAACAUAAAUCCUGAGGUUAAAAGAUCAGGUUUGUCAACCAUUCUCCUCCCGUAGGGCCACCGGUUUGUUUCCACUCCUUUGUCACAUGAGGCUUCCAUUCCACCAUAAAUCAGGAUGUUUCCACAGAGCUCUUCAAGGGACUGUGGGAGAUUCUGGUUGAAGCCCUGUAGCAAAAGAAUUUCACUCUCCCAACAGUCAACAAAUAAGGAACCCUGUCUAACAGGGAUGACACCACAUUUCACCUGAAGUCUCCCACCUUGCAGCCCUGAGAUGGGGGCAAUAUUUCUAAUAAUCACUCUAUACAACUUGUUAGACUCUCCUUUCAUUGACAGCGAGGCUUCCUUUUACAUUUUCUUUUAGCCUCCAAACCUUAUUCCUCUGUUUAAAACCUCAAGUUUGUCAACAAUUGUCCAUCUGUAGGGCCACUGGUUUGUUUCAACUCUUUUGUCAAAUGAGACUUUCAUUCCAUCAAAACUCAGGAUGCUUCUUCAUGGUUCUUAGAUGAGCUGGGGAAGAUGCUGAUUGAAACCCUACAGCAAAGUUAAUUCACUCUCCCAACAGUCAAAAUAUAAGGAACCUUGUCUCCCAAGGAUGACACCACAUUUCUUCUGAAUUCUCCCACCUGGCAGCCUAGGGUUGGGGGCAAUAUUUCUCAUUUUCUUCUUAUACUACUUAUUUGACUCUCCAUUCAUUGACAGAGAGAAUUCUUUUAAUUCUUUCUUCUGUCUUCCAAACAUAAAUCCUCAGGUUAAAAGAUCUGGUUAGUCAACCAUUCUCCUCCCGUAGGGCCACCGGUUUGUUUCCACUCCUUUGUUACAUGAGGCUUCUAUUCCAUCAAAACUCAGGAUGCAUCUUCAUGGUUCUUAGAUGAGCUGUGGAAGAUGCUGAUUGAAGCCCUGUAAGAAAGGAAAUUCACUCUCCCAACAGUCAAAAAAUAAGGAACCUUGUCUAACAAGGAUGACACCACAUUUCACCUGAAGUCUCCCACCUGGCAGCCCAGGGGUGGGGGCAAUAUUUCUCAUUUGCUUUUUAUACUACUUAUUAGACUCUCCAUUCAUUGACAGCGAGGCUUCUUUCAAUUCUUUUUCUGCCUUCCAAACAUAAAUCCUCAGGUUAAAAGAUCUGGUUAGUCAAACAUUCUCCUCCCGUAGGGCCACCGGUUUGUUUCCACUCCUUUGUUACAUGAGGCUUCUAUUCCAUCAAAACUCAGGAUGCAUCUUCAUGGUUCUUAGAUGAGCUGGGGAAGAUGCUGAUUGAAGUCCUGUAGCAAAGGAAAUUCACUCUCCCAACAGUCAACAAAUAAGGAACCCUGUCUAACAGGGAUGACACCACAUAUGCACCAAAGUCUCCCACUUUGCAGCCCAGGGGUGGGGGCAAUAUUUCCAUUACUCUCUCUAUACAGCUUGUUAGACUCUCCAUUCAUUGACAGCGAGGCUUCUUUCAAUUCUUUUUCUGUCUUCCAAACAUAAAUCCUCAGGUUAAAAGAUCUGGUUAGUCAACCAUUCUCCUCCCAUAGGGCCACCGGAUUGUUUCCACUCCUUUGUCACAUGAGGCUUCCAUUCCACCAUAAAUCAGGAUGUUUCCACAGAGCUCUUCAAGGGACUGUGAGAGAUUCUGGUUGAAGCCCUGUAGCAAAAGAAUUUCACUCUCCCAACAGUCAACAAAUAAGGAACCCUGUCUAACAGGGAUGACACCACAUUUCACCUGAAGUCUCCCACCUUGCAGCCCUGAGAUGGGGGCAAUAUUUCUAAUAAUCACUCUAUACAACUUGUUAGACUCUCCUUUCAUUGACAGCGAGGCUUCCUUUUACAUUUUCUUUUAGCCUCCAAACCUUAUUCCUCUGUUUAAAACCUCAAGUUUGUCAACAAUUGUCCGUCUGUAGGGCCACUGGUUUGUUUCAACUCUUUUGUCACAUGAGACUUUCAUUCCAUCAAAACUCAGGAUGCUUCUUCAUGGUUCUUAGAUGAGCUGGGGAAGAUGCUGAUUGAAACCCUACAGCAAAGUUAAUUCACUCUCCCAACAGUCAAAAUAUAAGGAACCUUGUCUCCCAAGGAUGACACCACAUUUCACCUGAAGUCUCCCACCAGCAGCCCAGGGGUGGGGGAAAUAUUUCUCAUUUGCUUUUUAUACUACUUAUUAGACUCUCCAUUCAUUGACAGCGAGGCUUCUUUCAAUUCUUUUUCUGUCUUCCAAACAUAAAUCCUCAGGUUAAAAGAUCUGGUUAGUCAACCAUUCUCCUCCCGUAGGGCCACCGGUUUGUUUCCACUCCUUUGUCACAUGAGGCUUCCAUUCCACCAUAAAUCAGGAUGUUUCCACAGAGCUCUUCAAGGGACUGUGAGAGAUUCUGGUUGAAGCCCUGUAGCAAAAGAAUUUCACUCUCCCAACAGUCAACAAAUAAGGAACCCUGUCUAACAGGGAUGACAGCACAUUUCACCUGAAGUCUCCCACCUUGCAGCCCUGAGAUGGGGGCAAUAUUUCUAAUAAUCACUCUAUACAACUUGUUAGACUCUCCUUUCAUUGACAGCGAGGCUUCCUUUUACAUUUUCUUUUAGCCUCCAAACCUUAUUCCUCUGUUUAAAACCUCAAGUUUGUCAACAAUUGUCCGUCUGUAGGGCCACUGGUUUGUUUCAACUCUUUUGUCACAUGAGACUUUCAUUCCAUCAAAACUCAGGAUGCUUCUUCAUGGUUCUUAGAUGAGUUGGGGAAGAUGCUGAUUGAAACCCUACAGCAAAGUUAAUUCACUCUCCCAACAGUCAAAAUAUAAGGAACCUUGUCUCCCAAGGAUGACACCACAUUUCACCUGAAGUCUCCCACCAGCAGCCCAGGGGUGGGGGAAAUAUUUCUCAUUUGCUUUUUAUACUACUUAUUAGACUCUCCAUUCAUUGACAGCGAGGCUUCUUUCAAUUCUUUUUCUGUCUUCCAAACAUAAAUCCUCAGGUUAAAAGAUUUGGUUAGUCAACCAUUCUCCUCCCGUAGGGCCACCGGUUUGUUUCCACUCCUUUGUUACAUGAGGCUUCUAUUCCAUCAAAACUCAGGAUGCAUCUUCAUGGUUCUUAGAUGAGCUGGGGAAGAUGCUGAUUGAAGCCCUGUAGCAAAGGAAAUUCACUCCCCCAACAGUCAACAAAUAAGGAACCCUGUCUAACAGGGAUGACACCACAUAUGCACCGAAGUCUCCCACUUUGCAGCCCAGGAGUGGGGGCAAUAUUUCCAUUACUCUCUCUAUACAGCUUGUUAGACUCCAUUCAUUGACAGCGAGGCUUCCAUUUACAUUUCCUUUUAGCCUCCAACCCUUACUCCUCAGUUUAAAAGCUCAGGUUUCUCACCAAUUCUCCUUCUGUAGGGCCACCGGUUUGUUUCCACUCCUUUGUUACAUGAGGCUUCCAUUCCAUCAAAACUCAGGAUGCAUCUUCAUGGUUCUUAGAUGAGCUGUGGAAGAUGCUGAUUGAAGCCCUGUAAGAAAGGAAAUUCACUCUCCCAACAGUCAACAAAUCAGGAACCUUGUCUAACAAGGAUGACACCACAUUUCACCUGAAGUCUACCACCUGGCAGCCCAGGGGUGGGGGCAAUAUUUCUCAUUUGCUUUUUAUACUACUUAUUAGACUCUCCGUUCAUUAACAGUGAGAAUUCUUUUACUUCUAUCUCCUGUUUUCCAAACAUAAAUCCUCAGGUUAAAAGAUCAGGUUUGUCAACCAUUCUCCUCCUGUAGGGCCACCGGUUUGUUUCCACUCCUUUGUCACAUGAGGCCUCCAUUCCACCAUAAAUCAGGAUGUUUCCACAGAGCUCUUCAAGGGACUGUGGGAGAUUCUGCUUGAAGCCCUGUAGCAAAAGAAUUUCACUCUCCCAACAGUCAACAAAUAAGGAACCCUGUCUAACAGGGAUGACACCACAUUUCACCUGAAGUCUUCCACCUUGCAGCCCUGAGAUGGGGGCAAUAUUUCUAAUAAUCACUCUAUACAACUUGUUAGACUCUCCUUUCAUUGACAGCGAGGCUUCCUUUUACAUUUUCUUUUAGCCUCCAAACCUUAUUCCUCUGUUUAAAACCUCAAGUUUGUCAACAAUUGUCCAUCUGUAGGGCCACUGGUUUGUUUCAACUCUUUUGUCACCUGAGACUUUCAUUCCAUCAAAACUCAGGAUGCUUCUUCAUGGUUCUUAGAUGAGCUGGGGAAGAUGCUGAUUGAAACCCUACAGCAAAGUUAAUUCACUCUCCCAACAGUCAAAAUAUAAGGAACCUUGUCUCCCAAGGAUGACACCACAUUUCUUCUGAAUUCUCCCACCUGGCAGCCUAGGGUUGGGGGCAAUAUUUCUCAUUUUCUUUUUAUACUACUUAUUUGACUCUCCAUUCAUUGACAAUGAGACUUCUUUUAAUUCUUUCUUCUGUCUUCCAAACAUAAAUCCUCAGGUUAAAAGAUCUGGUUAGUCAACCAUUCUCCUCCCGUAGGGCCACUGGUUUGUUUCCACUCCUUUGUUACAUGAGGCUUCUAUUCCAUCAAAACUCAGGAUGCAUCUUCAUGGUUCUUAGAUGAGCUGUGGAAGAUGCUGAUUGAAGCCCUGUAAGAAAGGAAAUUCACUCUCCCAACAGUCAAAAAAUAAGGAACCUUGUCUAACAAGGAUGACACCACAUUUCACCUGAAGUCUCCCACCUGGCAGCCCAGGGGUGGGGGCAAUAUUUCUCAUUUGCUUUUUAUACUACUUAUUAGACUCUCCAUUCAUUGACAGCGAGGCUUCUUUCAAUUCUUUUUCUGCCUUCCAAACAUAAAUCCUCAGGUUAAAAGAUCUGGUUAGUCAAACAUUCUCCUCCCGUAGGGCCACCGGUUUGUUUCCACUCCUUUGUUACAUGAGGCUUCUAUUCCAUCAAAACUCAGGAUGCAUCUUCAUGGUUCUUAGAUGAGCUGGGGAAGAUGCUGAUUGAAGUCCUGUAGCAAAGGAAAUUCACUCUCCCAACAGUCAACAAAUAAGGAACCCUGUCUAACAGGGAUGACACCACAUAUGCACCAAAGUCUCCCACUUUGCAGCCCAGGGGUGGGGGCAAUAUUUCCAUUACUCUCUCUAUACAGCUUGUUAGACUCUCCAUUCAUUGACAGCGAGGCUUCUUUCAAUUCUUUUUCUGUCUUCCAAACAUAAAUCCUCAGGUUAAAAGAUCUGGUUAGUCAACCAUUCUCCUCCCGUAGGGCCACCGGAUUGUUUCCACUCCUUUGUUACAUGAGGCUUCCAUUCCAUCAAAACUCAGGAUGCAUCUUCAUGGUUCUUAGAUAAGCUGUGGAAGAUGCUGAUUGAAGCCCUGUAAGAAAGGAAAUUCACUCUCCCAACAGUCAACAAAUCAGGAACCUUGUCUAACAAGGAUGACACCAUAUGUCACCUGAAGUCUCCCACCUGGCAGCCCAGGGGUGGGGGCAAUAUUUCUCAUUUGCUUUUUAUACUACUUAUUAGACUCUCCGUUCAUUAACAGUGAGAAUUCUUUUACUUCUAUCUUCUGUUUUCCAAACAUAAAUCCUCAGGUUAAAAAUCAGGUUUGUCAACCAUUCUCCUCCCGUAGGGCCACCAGUUUGUUUCCACUCCUUUGUCACAUGAGGCUUCCAUUCCACCAUAAAUCAGGAUGUUUCCACAGAGCUCUUCAAGGGACUGUGAGAGAUUCUGGUUGAAGCCCUGUAGCAAAAGAAUUUCACUCUCCCAACAGUCAACAAAUAAGGAACCCUGUCUAACAGGGAUGACACCACAUUUCACCUGAAGUCUCCCACCUUGCAGCCCUGAGAUGGGGGCAAUAUUUCUAAUAAUCACUCUAUACAACUUGUUAGACUCUCCUUUCAUUGACAGCGAGGCUUCCUUUUACAUUUUCUUUUAGCCUCCAAACCUUAUUCCUCUGUUUAAAACCUCAAGUUUGUCAACAAUUGUCCGUCUGUAGGGCCACUGGUUUGUUUCAACUCUUUUGUCACAUGAGACUUUCAUUCCAUCAAAACUCAGGAUGCUUCUUCAUGGUUCUUAGAUGAGCUGGGGAAGAUGCUGAUUGAAACCCUACAGCAAAGUUAAUUCACUCUCCCAACAGUCAAAAUAUAAGGAACCUUGUCUCCCAAGGAUGACACCACAUUUCACCUGAAGUCUCCCACCAGCAGCCCAGGGGUGGUGGAAAUAUUUCUCAUUUGCUUUUUAUACUACUUAUUAGACUCUCCAUUCAUUGACAGCGAGGCUUCUUUCAAUUCUUUUUCUGUCUUCCAAACAUAAAUCCUCAGGUUAAAAGAUCUGGUUAGUCAACCAUUCUCCUCCCGUAGGGCCACCGGUUUGUUUCCACUCCUUUGUCACAUGAGGCUUCCAUUCCACCAUAAAUCAGGAUGUUUCCACAGAGCUCUUCAAGGGACUGUGAGAGAUUCUGGUUGAAGCCCUGUAGCAAAAGAAUUUCACUCUCCCAACAGUCAACAAAUAAGGAACCCUGUCUAACAGGGAUGACAGCACAUUUCACCUGAAGUCUCCCACCUUGCAGCCCUGAGAUGGGGGCAAUAUUUCUAAUAAUCACUCUAUACAACUUGUUAGACUCUCCUUUCAUUGACAGCGAGGCUUCCUUUUACAUUUUCUUUUAGCCUCCAAACCUUAUUCCUCUGUUUAAAACCUCAAGUUUGUCAACAAUUGUCCGUCUGUAGGGCCACUGGUUUGUUUCAACUCUUUUGUCACAUGAGACUUUCAUUCCAUCAAAACUCAGGAUGCUUCUUCAUGGUUCUUAGAUGAGUUGGGGAAGAUGCUGAUUGAAACCCUACAGCAAAGUUAAUUCACUCUCCCAACAGUCAAAAUAUAAGGAACCUUGUCUCCCAAGGAUGACACCACAUUUCACCUGAAGUCUCCCACCAGCAGCCCAGGGGUGGGGGAAAUAUUUCUCAUUUGCUUUUUAUACUACUUAUUAGACUCUCCAUUCAUUGACAGCGAGGCUUCUUUCAAUUCUUUUUCUGUCUUCCAAACAUAAAUCCUCAGGUUAAAAGAUUUGGUUAGUCAACCAUUCUCCUCCCGUAGGGCCACCGGUUUGUUUCCACUCCUUUGUUACAUGAGGCUUCUAUUCCAUCAAAACUCAGGAUGCAUCUUCAUGGUUCUUAGAUGAGCUGGGGAAGAUGCUGAUUGAAGCCCUGUAGCAAAGGAAAUUCACUCCCCCAACAGUCAACAAAUAAGCAACCCUGUCUAACAGGGAUGACACCACAUAUGCACCGAAGUCUCCCACUUUGCAGCCCAGGAGUGGGGGCAAUAUUUCCAUUACUCUCUCUAUACAGCUUGUUAGACUCCAUUCAUUGACAGCGAGGCUUCCAUUUACAUUUCCUUUUAGCCUCCAACCCUUACUCCUCAGUUUAAAAGCUCAGGUUUCUCACCAAUUCUCCUUCUGUAGGGCCACCGGUUUGUUUCCACUCCUUUGUUACAUGAGGCUUCCAUUCCAUCAAAACUCAGGAUGCAUCUUCAUGGUUCUUAGAUGAGCUGUGGAAGAUGCUGAUUGAAGCCCUGUAAGAAAGGAAAUUCACUCUCCCAACAGUCAAAAAAUAAGGAACCUUGUCUAACAAGGAUGACACCACAUUUCACCUGAAGUCUACCACCUGGCAGCCCAGGGGUGGGGGCAAUAUUUCUCAUUUGCUUUUUAUACUACUUAUUAGACUCUCCGUUCAUUAACAGUGAGAAUUCUUUUACUUCUAUCUCCUGUUUUCCAAACAUAAAUCCUCAGGUUAAAAGAUCAGGUUUGUCAACCAUUCUCCUCCUGUAGGGCCACCGGUUUGUUUCCACUCCUUUGUCACAUGAGGCCUCCAUUCCACCAUAAAUCAGGAUGUUUCCACAGAGCUCUUCAAGGGACUGUGGGAGAUUCUGCUUGAAGCCCUGUAGCAAAAGAAUUUCACUCUCCCAACAGUCAACAAAUAAGGAACCCUGUCUAACAGGGAUGACACCACAUUUCACCUGAAGUCUUCCACCUUGCAGCCCUGAGAUGGGGGCAAUAUUUCUAAUAAUCACUCUAUACAACUUGUUAGACUCUCCUUUCAUUGACAGCGAGGCUUCCUUUUACAUUUUCUUUUAGCCUCCAAACCUUAUUCCUCUGUUUAAAACCUCAAGUUUGUCAACAAUUGUCCAUCUGUAGGGCCACUGGUUUGUUUCAACUCUUUUGUCACCUGAGACUUUCAUUCCAUCAAAACUCAGGAUGCUUCUUCAUGGUUCUUAGAUGAGCUGGGGAAGAUGCUGAUUGAAACCCUACAGCAAAGUUAAUUCACUCUCCCAACAGUCAAAAUAUAAGGAACCUUGUCUCCCAAGGAUGACACCACAUUUCUUCUGAAUUCUCCCACCUGGCAGCCUAGGGUUGGGGGCAAUAUUUCUCAUUUUCUUUUUAUACUACUUAUUUGACUCUCCAUUCAUUGACAAUGAGACUUCUUUUAAUUCUUUCUUCUGUCUUCCAAACAUAAAUCCUCAGGUUAAAAGAUCUGGUUAGUCAACCAUUCUCCUCCCGUAGGGCCACUGGUUUGUUUCCACUCCUUUGUUACAUGAGGCUUCUAUUCCAUCAAAACUCAGGAUGCAUCUUCAUGGUUCUUAGAUGAGCUGUGGAAGAUGCUGAUUGAAGCCCUGUAAGAAAGGAAAUUCACUCUCCCAACAGUCAAAAAAUAAGGAACCUUGUCUAACAAGGAUGACACCACAUUUCACCUGAAGUCUCCCACCUGGCAGCCCAGGGGUGGGGGCAAUAUUUCUCAUUUGCUUUUUAUACUACUUAUUAGACUCUCCAUUCAUUGACAGCGAGGCUUCUUUCAAUAAUUUUUAUGCCUUCCAAACAUAAAUCCUCAGGUUAAAAGAUCUGGUUAGUCAACCAUUCUCCUCCCGUAGGGCCACCGGUUUGUUUCCACUCCUUUGUUACAUGAGGCUUCUAUUCCAUCAAAACUCAGGAUGCAUCUUCAUGGUUCUUAGAUGAGCUGGGGAAGAUGCUGAUUGAAGUCCUGUAGCAAAGGAAAUUCACUCUCCCAACAGUCAACAAAUAAGGAACCCUGUCUAACAGGGAUGACACCACAUAUGCACCAAAGUCUCCCACUUUGCAGCCCAGGGGUGGGGGCAAUAUUUCCAUUACUCUCUCUAUACAGCUUGUUAGACUCUCCAUUCAUUGACAGCGAGGCUUCCAUUUACAUUUUCUUUUAGCCUCCAACCCUUAUUCCUCAGUUUAAAAGCACAGGUUUCUCACCAAUUCUCCUUCUGUAGGGCCACCCGUUUAUUUCCACUCCUUUGUUACAUGAGGCUUCCAUUCCAUCAAAACUCAGGAUGCAUCUUCAUGGUUCUUAGAUGAGCUGUGGAAGAUGCUGAUUGAAGCCCUGUAAGAAAGGAAAUUCACUCUCCGAACAGUCAAAAAAUAAGGAACCUUGUCUAACAAGGAUGACACCACAUGUCACCUGAAGUCUCCCACCUGGCAGCCCAGGGGUGGGGGCAAUAUUUCUCAUUUGCUUUUUAUACUACUUAUUAGACUCUCCAUUCAUUGACAGCGAGGCUUCUUUCAAUUCUUUUUCUGUCUUCCAAACAUAAAUCCUCAGGUUAAAAGAUCUGGUUAGUCAACCAUUCUCCUCCCGUAGGGCCACCGGAUUGUUUCCACUCCUUUUUUACAUGAGGCUUCCAUUCCAUCAAAACUCAGGAUGCAUCUUCAUGGUUCUUAGAUAAGCUGUGGAAGAUGCUGAUUGAAGACCUGUAAGAAAGGAAAUUCACUCUCCCAACAGUCAAAAAAUAAGGAACCUUGUCUAACAAGGAUGACACCAUAUGUCACCUGAAGUCUCCCACCUGGCAGCCCAGGGGUGGGGGCAAUAUUUCUCAUUUGCUUUUUAUACUACUUAUUAGACUCUCCGUUCAUUAACAGUGAGAAUUCUUUUACUUCUAUCUUCUGUUUUCCAAACAUAAAUCCUCAGGUUAAAAGAUCAGGUUUGUCUACCAUUCUCCUCCCGUAGGGCCACCAGUUUGUUUCCACUCCUUUGUCACAUGAGGCUUCCAUUCCACCAUAAAUCAGGAUGUUUCCACAGAGCUCUUCAAGGGACUGUGAGAGAUUCUGGUUGAAGCCCUGUAGCAAAAGAAUUUCACUCUCCCAACAGUCAACAAAUAAGGAACCCUGUCUAACAGGGAUGACACCACAUAUGCACCGAAGUCUCCCACUUUGCAGCCCAGGGGUGGGGGCAAUAUUUCCAUUACUCUCUCUAUACAGCUUGUUAGACUCUCCAUUCAUUGUCAGCGAGGCUUCCAUUUACUUUUCCUUUUAGCCUCCAACCCUUAUUCCUCAGUUUAAAAGCUCAGGUUUCUCACCAAUUCUCCUUCUGUAGGUCCACCGGUUUGUUUCCACUCCUUUGUUACAUGAGGCUUCUAUUCCAUCAAAACUCAGGAUGCAUCUUCAUGGUUCUUAGAUGAGCUGUGGAAGAUGCUGAUUGAAGCCCUGUAAGAAAGGAAAUUCACUCUCCCAACAGUCAAAAAAUAAGGAACCUUGUCUAACAAGGUGACACCACAUAUCACCUGAAGUCUCCCACCUGGCAGCCCAGGGAUGGGGGCAAUAUUUCUCAUUUGCUUUUUAUACAACUUAUUAGACUCUCCAUUCAUUAACAGAGAGAAUUCUUUUACUUCUAUCUCCUGUUUUCCAAACAUAAAUCCUCAGGUUAAAAGAUCAGGUUUCUCACCAAUUCUCCUCCUGUAGGGCCACCGGUUUGUUUCCACUCCUUUGUUACAUGAGGCUUCCAUUCCAUCAAAACUCAGGUUGCAUCUUCAUGGUUCUUAGAUGAGCUGUGGAAGAUGCUGAUUGAAGCCCUGUAAGAAAGGAAAUUCACUCCCCCAACAGUCAACAAAUAAGGAACCCUGUCUAACAGGGAUGACACCACAUAUGCACCGAAGUCUCCCACUUUGCAGCCCAGGAGUGGGGGCAAAAUUUCCAUUACUCUCUCUAUACAGCUUGUUAGACUCCAUUCAUUGACAGCGAGGCUUCCAUUUACAUUUCCUUUUAGCCUCCAACCCUUAUUCCUCAGUUUAAAAGCUCAGGUUUCUCACCAAUUCUCCUUCUGUAGGGCCACUGGUUUGUUUCCACUCCUUUGUUACAUGAGGCUUCUAUUCCAUCAAAACUCAGGAUGCAUCUUCAUGGUUCUUAGAUGAGCUGUGGAAGAUGCUGAUUGAAGCCCUGUAAGAAAGGAAAUUCACUCUCCCAACAGUCAAAAAAUAAGGAACCUUGUCUAACAAGGUGACACCACAUAUCACCUGAAGUCUCCCACCUGGCAGCCCAGGGAUGGGGGCAAUAUUUCUCAUUUGCUUUUUAUACAACUUAUUAGACUCUCCAUUCAUUAACAGAGAGAAUUCUUUUACUUCUAUCUCCUGUUUUCCAAACAUAAAUCCUCAGGUUAAAAGAUCAGGUUUGUCAACCAUUCACCUCCUGUAGGGCCACCGGUUUGUUUCCACUCCUUUGUCACAUGAGGCUUCCAUUCCACCAUAAAUCAGGAUGUUUCCACAGAGCUCUUCAAGGGACUGUGGGAGAUUCUGCUUGAAGCCCUGUAGCAAAAGAAUUUCACUCUCCCAACAGUCAACAAAUAAGGAACCCUGUCUAACAGGGAUGACAGCACAUUUCACCUGAAGUCUCCCACCUUGCAGCCCUGAGAUGGGGGCAAUAUUUCUAAUAAUCACUCUAUACAACUUGUUAGACUCUCCUUUCAUUGACAGCGAGGCUUCCUUUUACAUUUUCUUUUAGCUUCCAAACCUUAUUUCUCUGUUUAAAACCUCAAGUUUGUCAACAAUUGUCCAUCUGUAGGGCCACUGCUUUGUUUCAACUCUUUUGUGACAUGAGACUUUCAUUCCAUCAAAACUCAGGAUGCUUCUUCAUGGUUCUUAGAUGAGCUGGGGUAGAUGCUGAUUGAAACCCUACAGCAAAGAUAAUUCACUCUCCCAACAGUCAAAAUAUAAGGAACCUUGUCUCCAAAUGUUGACACCACAUUUCUUCUGAAUUCUCCCACCUGGCAGCCUAGUGUUGGGGGCAAUAUUUCUCAUUUGCUUUUUAUACAACUUAUUAGACUCUCCAUUCAUUAACAGAGAGAAUUCUUUUACUUCUAUCUCCUGUUUUCCAAACAUAAAUCCUCAGGUUAAAAGAUCAGGUUUGUCAACCAUUCUCCUCCUGUAGGGCCACCGGUUUGUUUCCACUCCUUUGUUACCUGAGGCUUCCAUUCCAUCAAAACUCAGGAUGCAUCUUCAUGGUUCUUAGAUGAGCUGGGGAAGAUGCUGAUUGAAGCCCUGUAGCAAAGGAAAUUCACUCCCCCAACAGUCAACAAAUAAGGAACCCUGUCUAACAGGGAUGACACCACAUAUGCACCGAAGUCUCCCACUUUGCAGCCCAGGGGUGGGGGCAAUAUUUCCAUUGCUCUCUCUAUACAGCUUGUUAGACUCUCCAUUCAUUGACAGCGAGGCUUCCAUUUACAUUUUCUUUUAGCCUCCAACCCUUAUUCCUCAGUUUAAAAGCUCAGGUUUCUUACCAAUUCUCCUUCUGUAAGGCCACCGGUUUGUUUCCACUCCUUUGUUACAUGAGGCUUCCAUUCCAUCAAAACUCAGGAUGCAUUCAUGGUUCUUUGAUGAGCUGUGGAAGAUGCUGAUUGAAGCCCUGUAAGAAAGGAAAUUCACUCUCCCAACACUCAACAAAUCAGGAACCUUGUCUAACAAGGUGACACCACAUAUCACCUGAAGUCUCCCACCUGGCAGCCCAGGGAUGGGGGCAAUAUUUCUCAUUUGAUUUUUAUACAACUUAUAAGACUCUCCAUUCAUUAACAGAGAGAAUUCUUUUACUUCUAUCUCCUGUUUUCCAAACAUAAAUCCUCAGGUUAAAAGAUCAGGUUUGUCAACCAUUCUCCUCCUGUAGGGCCACCGGUUUGUUUCCACUCCUUUGUCACAUGAGGCCUCCAUUCCACCAUAAAUCAGGAUGUUUCCACAGAGCUCUUCAAGGGACUGUGGGAGAUUCUGCUUGAAGCCCUGUAGCAAAAGAAUUUCACUCUCCCAACAGUCAACAAAUAAGGAACCCUGUCUAACAGGGAUGACACCACAUUUCACCUGAAGUCUUCCACCUUGCAGCCCUGAGAUGGGGGCAAUAUUUCUAAUAAUCACUCUAUACAACUUGUUAGACUCUCCUUUCAUUGACAGCGAGGCUUCCUUUUACAUUUUCUUUUAGCCUCCAAACCUUAUUCCUCUGUUUAAAACCUCAAGUUUGUCAACAAUUGUCCAUCUGUAGGGCCACUGGUUUGUUUCAACUCUUUUGUCACCUGAGACUUUCAUUCCAUCAAAACUCAGGAUGCUUCUUCAUGGUUCUUAGAUGAGCUGGGGAAGAUGCUGAUUGAAACCCUACAGCAAAGUUAAUUCACUCUCCCAACAGUCAAAAUAUAAGGAACCUUGUCUCCCAAGGAUGACACCACAUUUCUUCUGAAUUCUCCCACCUGGCAGCCUAGGGUUGGGGGCAAUAUUUCUCAUUUUCUUUUUAUACUACUUAUUUGACUCUCCAUUCAUUGACAAUGAGACUUCUUUUAAUUCUUUCUUCUGUCUUCCAAACAUAAAUCCUCAGGUUAAAAGAUCUGGUUAGUCAACCAUUCUCCUCCCGUAGGGCCACCGGUUUGUUUCCACUCCUUUGUUACAUGAGGCUUCUAUUCCAUCAAAACUCAGGAUGCAUCUUCAUGGUUCUUACAUGAGCUGUGGAAGAUGCUGAUUGAAGCCCUGUAAGAAAGGAAAUUCACUCUCCCAACAGUCAAAAAAUAAGGAACCUUGUCUAACAAGGAUGACACCACAUUUCACCUGAAGUCUCCCACCUGGCAGCCCAGGGGUGGGGGCAAUAUUUCUCAUUUGCUUUUUAUACUACUUAUUAGACUCUCCAUUCAUUGACAGCGAGGCUUCUUUCAAUAAUUUUUAUGCCUUCCAAACAUAAAUCCUCAGGUUAAAAGAUCUGGUUAGUCAACCAUUCUCCUCCCGUAGGGCCACCGGUUUGUUUCCACUCCUUUGUUACAUGAGGCUUCUAUUCCAUCAAAACUCAGGAUGCAUCUUCAUGGUUCUUAGAUGAGCUGGGGAAGAUGCUGAUUGAAGUCCUGUAGCAAAGGAAAUUCACUCUCCCAACAGUCAACAAAUAAGGAACCCUGUCUAACAGGGAUGACACCACAUAUGCACCAAAGUCUCCCACUUUGCAGCCCAGGGGUGGGGGCAAUAUUUCCAUUACUCUCUCUAUACAGCUUGUUAGACUCUCCAUUCAUUGACAGCGAGGCUUCCAUUUACAUUUUCUUUUAGCCUCCAACCCUUAUUCCUCAGUUUAAAAGCACAGGUUUCUCACCAAUUCUCCUUCUGUAGGGCCACCCGUUUAUUUCCACUCCUUUGUUACAUGAGGCUUCCAUUCCAUCAAAACUCAGGAUGCAUCUUCAUGGUUCUUAGAUGAGCUGUGGAAGAUGCUGAUUGAAGCCCUGUAAGAAAGGAAAUUCACUCUCCGAACAGUCAAAAAAUAAGGAACCUUGUCUAACAAGGAUGACACCACAUGUCACCUGAAGUCUCCCACCUGGCAGCCCAGGGGUGGGGGCAAUAUUUCUCAUUUGCUUUUUAUACUACUUAUUAGACUCUCCAUUCAUUGACAGCGAGGCUUCUUUCAAUUCUUUUUCUGUCUUCCAAACAUAAAUCCUCAGGUUAAAAGAUCUGGUUAGUCAACCAUUCUCCUCCCGUAGGGCCACCGGAUUGUUUCCACUCCUUUUUUACAUGAGGCUUCCAUUCCAUCAAAACUCAGGAUGCAUCUUCAUGGUUCUUAGAUAAGCUGUGGAAGAUGCUGAUUGAAGACCUGUAAGAAAGGAAAUUCACUCUCCCAACAGUCAAAAAAUAAGGAACCUUGUCUAACAAGGAUGACACCAUAUGUCACCUGAAGUCUCCCACCUGGCAGCCCAGGGGUGGGGGCAAUAUUUCUCAUUUGCUUUUUAUACUACUUAUUAGACUCUCCGUUCAUUAACAGUGAGAAUUCUUUUACUUCUAUCUUCUGUUUUCCAAACAUAAAUCCUCAGGUUAAAAGAUCAGGUUUGUCAACCAUUCUCCUCCCGUAGGGCCACCAGUUUGUUUCCACUCCUUUGUCACAUGAGGCUUCCAUUCCACCAUAAAUCAGGAUGUUUCCACAGAGCUCUUCAAGGGACUGUGAGAGAUUCUGGUUGAAGCCCUGUAGCAAAAGAAUUUCACUCUCCCAACAGUCAACAAAUAAGGAACCCUGUCUAACAGGGAUGACACCACAUAUGCACCGAAGUCUCCCACUUUGCAGCCCAGGGGUGGGGGCAAUAUUUCCAUUACUCUCUCUAUACAGCUUGUUAGACUCUCCAUUCAUUGUCAGCGAGGCUUCCAUUUACUUUUCCUUUUAGCCUCCAACCCUUAUUCCUCAGUUUAAAAGCUCAGGUUUCUCACCAAUUCUCCUUCUGUAGGUCCACCGGUUUGUUUCCACUCCUUUGUUACAUGAGGCUUCUAUUCCAUCAAAACUCAGGAUGCAUCUUCAUGGUUCUUAGAUGAGCUGUGGAAGAUGCUGAUUGAAGCCCUGUAAGAAAGGAAAUUCACUCUCCCAACAGUCAAAAAAUAAGGAACCUUGUCUAACAAGGUGACACCACAUAUCACCUGAAGUCUCCCACCUGGCAGCCCAGGGAUGGGGGCAAUAUUUCUCAUUUGCUUUUUAUACAACUUAUUAGACUCUCCAUUCAUUAACAGAGAGAAUUCUUUUACUUCUAUCUCCUGUUUUCCAAACAUAAAUCCUCAGGUUAAAAGAUCAGGUUUCUCACCAAUUCUCCUCCUGUAGGGCCACCGGUUUGUUUCCACUCCUUUGUUACAUGAGGCUUCCAUUCCAUCAAAACUCAGGUUGCAUCUUCAUGGUUCUUAGAUGAGCUGUGGAAGAUGCUGAUUGAAGCCCUGUAAGAAAGGAAAUUCACUCUCCCAACAGUCAAAAAAUAAGGAACCUUGUCUAACAAGGAUGACACCACAUUUCACCUGAAGUCUCCCACCUGGCAGCCCAGGGGUGGGGGCAAUAUUUCUCAUUUGCUUUUUAUACUACUUAUUAGACUCUCUGUUCAUUAACAGUGAGAAUUCUUUUACUUCUAUCUCCUGUUUUCCAAACAUAAAUCCUCAGAUUAAAAGAUCAGGUUUGUCAACCAUUCUCCUCCCGUAGGGCCACCAGUUUGUUUCCACUCCUUUGUCACAUGAGGCUUCCAUUCCACCAUAAAUCAGGAUGUUUCCACAGAGCUCUUCAAGGGACUGUGGGAGAUUCUGGUUGAAGCCCUGUAGCAAAAGAAUUUCACUCUCCCAACAGUCAACAAAUAAGUAACCCUGUCUAACAGGGAUGACACCACAUUUCACCUGAAGUCUCCCACCUUGCAGCCCUGAGAUGGGGGCAAUAUUUCUAAUAAUCACUCUAUACAACUUGUUAGACUCUCCUUUCAUUGACAGCGAGGCUUCCUUUUACAUUUUCUUUUAGCCUCCAAACCUUAUUCCUAUGUUUAAAACCUCAAGUUUGUCAACAAUUGUCCGUCUGUAGGGCCACUGGUUUGUUUCAACUCUUUUGUCACAUGAGACUUUCAUUCCAUCAAAACUCAGGAUGCUUCUUCAUGGUUCUUAGAUGAGCUGGGGAAGAUGCUGAUUGAAACCCUACAGCAAAGUUAAUUCACUCUCCCAACAGUCAAAAUAUAAGGAACCUUGUCUCCCAAGGAUGACACCACAUUUCACUUGAAGUCUCCCACCAGCAGCCCAGGCGUGGGGGAAAUAUUUCUCAUUUGCUUUUUAUACUACUUAUUAGACUCUCCAUUCAUUGACAGCGAGGCUUCUUUCAAUUCUUUUUCUGUCUUCCAAACAUAAAUCCUCAGGUUAAAAGAUCUGGUUAGUCAACCAUUCUCCUCCCGUAGGGCCACCGGUUUGUUUCCACUCCUUUGUUACAUGAGGCUUCUAUUCCAUCAAAACUCAGGAUGCAUCUUCAUGGUUCUUAGAUGAGCUGGGGAAGAUGCUGAUUGAAGCCCUGUAGCAAAGGAAAUUCACUCCCCCAACAGUCAACAAAUAAGGAACCCUGUCUAACAGGGAUGACACCACAUAUGCACCGAAGUCUCCCACUUUGCAGCCCAGGAGUGGGGGCAAAAUUUCCAUUACUCUCUCUAUACAGCUUGUUAGACUCCAUUCAUUGACAGCGAGGCUUCCAUUUACAUUUCCUUUUAGCCUCCAACCCUUAUUCCUCAGUUUAAAAGCUCAGGUUUCUCACCAAUUCUCCUUCUGUAGGGCCACUGGUUUGUUUCCACUCCUUUGUUACAUGAGGCUUCUAUUCCAUCAAAACUCAGGAUGCAUCUUCAUGGUUCUUAGAUGAGCUGUGGAAGAUGCUGAUUGAAGCCCUGUAAGAAAGGAAAUUCACUCUCCCAACAGUCAAAAAAUAAGGAACCUUGUCUAACAAGGUGACACCACAUAUCACCUGAAGUCUCCCACCUGGCAGCCCAGGGAUGGGGGCAAUAUUUCUCAUUUGCUUUUUAUACAACUUAUUAGACUCUCCAUUCAUUAACAGAGAGAAUUCUUUUACUUCUAUCUCCUGUUUUCCAAACAUAAAUCCUCAGGUUAAAAGAUCAGGUUUGUCAACCAUUCACCUCCUGUAGGGCCACCGGUUUGUUUCCACUCCUUUGUCACAUGAGGCUUCCAUUCCACCAUAAAUCAGGAUGUUUCCACAGAGCUCUUCAAGGGACUGUGGGAGAUUCUGCUUGAAGCCCUGUAGCAAAAGAAUUUCACUCUCCCAACAGUCAACAAAUAAGGAACCCUGUCUAACAGGGAUGACAGCACAUUUCACCUGAAGUCUCCCACCUUGCAGCCCUGAGAUGGGGGCAAUAUUUCUAAUAAUCACUCUAUACAACUUGUUAGACUCUCCUUUCAUUGACAGCGAGGCUUCCUUUUACAUUUUCUUUUAGCUUCCAAACCUUAUUUCUCUGUUUAAAACCUCAAGUUUGUCAACAAUUGUCCGUCUGUAGGGCCACUGCUUUGUUUCAACUCUUUUGUGACAUGAGACUUUCAUUCCAUCAAAACUCAGGAUGCUUCUUCAUGGUUCUUAGAUGAGCUGGGGUAGAUGCUGAUUGAAACCCUACAGCAAAGAUAAUUCACUCUCCCAACAGUCAAAAUAUAAGGAACCUUGUCUCCAAAUGUUGACACCACAUUUCUUCUGAAUUCUCCCACCUGGCAGCCUAGUGUUGGGGGCAAUAUUUCUCAUUUGCUUUUUAUACAACUUAUUAGACUCUCCAUUCAUUAACAGAGAGAAUUCUUUUACUUCUAUCUCCUGUUUUCCAAACAUAAAUCCUCAGGUUAAAAGAUCAGGUUUGUCAACCAUUCUCCUCCUGUAGGGCCACCGGUUUGUUUCCACUCCUUUGUUACCUGAGGCUUCCAUUCCAUCAAAACUCAGGAUGCAUCUUCAUGGUUCUUAGAUGAGCUGGGGAAGAUGCUGAUUGAAGCCCUGUAGCAAAGGAAAUUCACUCCCUCAACAGUCAACAAAUAAGGAACCCUGUCUAACAGGGAUGACACCACAUAUGCACCGAAGUCUCCCACUUUGCAGCCCAGGGGUGGGGGCAAUAUUUCCAUUGCUCUCUCUAUACAGCUUGUUAGACUCUCCAUUCAUUGACAGCGAGGCUUCCAUUUACAUUUUCUUUUAGCCUCCAACCCUUAUUCCUCAGUUUAAAAGCUCAGGUUUCUUACCAAUUCUCCUUCUGUAAGGCCACCGGUUUGUUUCCACUCCUUUGUUACAUGAGGCUUCCAUUCCAUCAAAACUCAGGAUGCAUUCAUGGUUCUUUGAUGAGCUGUGGAAGAUGCUGAUUGAAGCCCUGUAAGAAAGGAAAUUCACUCUCCCAACACUCAACAAAUCAGGAACCUUGUCUAACAAGGUGACACCACAUAUCACCUGAAGUCUCCCACCUGGCAGCCCAGGGAUGGGGGCAAUAUUUCUCAUUUGAUUUUUAUACAACUUAUAAGACUCUCCAUUCAUUAACAGAGAGAAUUCUUUUACUUCUAUCUCCUGUUUUCCAAACAUAAAUCCUCAUGUUAAAAGAUCAGGUUUGUCAACCAUUCUCCUCCUGUAGGGCCACCGGUUUGUUUCCACUCCUUUGUUAUAUGAGGCUUCCAUUCCAUCAAAACUCAGGAUGCAUCUUCAUGGUUCUUAGAUGAGCUGGGGAAGAUGCUGAUUGAAGCCCUGUAGCAAAGGAAAUUCACUCCCCCAACAGUCAACAAAUAAGGAACCCUGUCUAACAGGGAUGACACCACAUAUGCACCGAAGUCUCCCACUUUGCAGCCCAGGGGUGGGGGCAAUAUUUCAAUUGCUCUCUCCAUACAGCUUGUUAGACUCUCCAUUCAUUGACAGUGAGGCUUCCAUUUACAUUUUCUUUUAGCCUCCAACCCUUAUUCCUCAGUUUUAAAGCUCAGGUUUCUCACCAAUUCUCCUUCUGUAGGGCCACCGGUUUAUUUCCACUCCUUUGUUACAUGAGGCUUCCAUUCCAUCAAAACUCAGGAUGCAUCUUCAUGGUUCUUUGAUGAGCUGUGGAAGAUGCUGAUUGAAGCCCUGUAAGAAAGGAAAUUCACUCUCCCAACACUCAACAAAUCAGGAACCUUGUCUAACAAGGUGACACCACAUAUCACCUGAAGUCUCCCACCUGGCAGCCCAGGGAUGGGGGCAAUAUUUCUCAUUUGAUUUUUAUACAACUUAUAAGACUCUCCAUUCAUUAACAGAGAGAAUUCUUUUACUUCUAUCUCCUGUUUUCCAAACAUAAAUCCUCAGGUUAAAAGAUCAGGUUUGUCAACCAUUCUCCUCCUGUAGGGCCACCGGUUUGUUUCCACUCCUUUGUUAUAUGAGGCUUCCAUUCCAUCAAAACUCAGGAUGCAUCUUCAUGGUUCUUAGAUGAGCUGGGGAAGAUGCUGAUUGAAGCCCUGUAGCAAAGGAAAUUCACUCUCCCAACAGUCAAAAAAUAAGGAACCUUGUCUAACAAGGAUGACACCACAUAUCACCUGAAGUCUCCCACCUGGCAGCCCAGGGGUGGGGGCAAUAUUUCUCAUUUGCUUUUUAUACUACUUAUUAGACUCUCCGUUCAUUAACUGUGAGAAUUCUUUUACUUCUAUCUCCUGUUUUCCAAACAUAAAUCCUCAGGUUAAAAGACCAGGUUUGUCAAGCAUUCUCCUCCUGUAGGGCCACCGGUUUGUUUCUACUCCUUUGUCACAUGAGGCUUCCAUUCCACCAUAAAUCAGGAUGUUUCCACAGAGCUCUUCAAGGGACUGUGGGAGAUUCUGGUUGAAGCCCUGUAGCAAAAGAAUUUCACUCUCCCAACAGUCAACAAAGAAGGAACCCUGACUAACAGGGAUGGCACCACAUUUCACCUGAAGUCUCCCAUCUUGCAGCCCUGAGAUGGGGGCAAUAUUUCUAAUAAUCACUCUAUACAACUUGUUAGACUCUCCUUUCAUUGACAGCGAGGCUUCCUUUUUCAUUUUCUUUCAGUCUCCAAACCUUAUUCCUCUGUUUAAAACCUCAAGUUUGCCAACAAUUGUCCGUCUGUAGGGCCACUGUUUUGUUUCAACUCUUUUGUCAUAUGAGACUUUCAUUCCAUCAAAACUCAGGAUGCUUCUUCAUGGUUCUUAGAUGAGCUGGGGAAGAUGCUGAUUGAAACCCUGGAGCAAAGUUAAUUCACUCUCCCAACAGUCAAAAAAUAAGGAACCUUGUCUCCCAAGGAUGACACCACAUUUCACCUGAAGUCUCCCACCUGGCAGCCCAGGGGUGGGGGCAAUAUUUCUCAUUUUCUUUUUAUACUACUUAUUUGACGCUCCAUUCAUUGACAAUGAGACUUCUUUUAAUUCUUUCAUCUGUCUUCCAAACAUAAAUCCUCAGGUUAAAAGAUCUGGUUAGUCAACCAUUCUUCUCCCGUUGGGCCACCGGUUUGUUUCCACUCCUUUGUUACAUGAGGCUUCUAUUCCAUCAAAACUCAGGAUGCAUCUUCAUGGUUCUUAGAUGAGCUGGGGAAGAUGCUGAUUGAAGCCCUGUAGCAAAGGAAAUUCACUCUCCCAACAGUCAACAAAUAAGGAACCCUGUCUAACAGGGAUGACACCACAUAUGCACCGAAGUCUCCCACUUUGCAGCCCAGGGGUGGGGGCAAUAUUUCCAUUACUCUCUCUAUACAGCUUUUUAGACUCUCCUUUCAUUGACAGCGAGGCCUCCAUUUACAUUUUCUAUUAGCCUCCAACCCUUAUUCCUCAGUUUAAAAGCUCAGUUUUCUCACCAAUUCUCCUUCUGUAGGACCACCGGUUUGUUUCCACUCCUUUGUCACGAGGCUUCCAUUCCACCAUAAAUCAGGAUGUUUCCACAGAGGUCUUCAAGGGACUGUGGGAGAUUCUGGUUGAAGCCCGGUAGCAAAAGAAUUUCACUCUCCCAACAGUCAACAAAUAAGGAACCCUGUCUAACAGUAACCACAUUUCACCUGAAGUCUCCCACCUUGCAUCCCUGAGACGGGGACAAUAUUUCUAAUAAUCACUCUAUACAACUUGUUAGACUCUCCUUUCAUUGACAGCGAGGCUUCCUUUUACAUUUUCUUUUAGCCUCCAAACCUUAUUCCUCAGUUUAAAAGCUCAGGUUUCUCACCAAUUCUCCUUCUGUAGGGCCACCGGUUUGUUUCCACUCCUUUGUCACCUGAGACUUUCAUUCCAUCAAAACUCAGGAUGCCUCUUCAUGGUUCUUAGAUGAGCUGGGGAAGAUGCUGAUUGAAACCCUGUAGCAAAGGAAAUUCACUCCCCCAACAGUCAACCAAUCAGGAACCUUGUCUAACAAGGUGACACCACAUUUCACCUGAAGUCUUCCACUUUGCAGCCCAGGGGUGGGGGCAAUAUUUCUCAUUGCUUUUUAUACUACUUAUUAGACUCUCCAUUCAUUGACAGCGAGGCUUCUUUUAAUUCUUUUUCUGUCUUCCAAACAUAAAUCCUCAGCUUAAAAGAUCUGGUUAGUCAACCAUUCUCCUCCCGUAGGGCCACCGGUUUGUUUCCACUCCUUUGUUACAUGAGGCUUCUAUUCCAUCAAAACUCAGGAUGCAUCUUCAUGGUUCUUAGAUGAGCUGGGGAAGAUGCUGAUUGAAGCCCUGUAGCAAAGGAAAUUCACUCUCCCAACAGUCAACAUAUAAGGGACCCUGUCUAACAGGGAUGACACCACAUAUGCACCGAAGUCUCCCACUUUGCAGCCCAGGGGUGGGGGCAAUAUUUCCAUUACUCUCUCUAUACAGCUUGUUAGACUCUCCAUUCAUUGACAGCGAGGCUUCCAUUUACAUUUUCUUUUAGCCUUCAACCCUUAUUCCUCAGUUUAAAAGCUCAGGUUUCUCAUCAAUUCUCCUUCUGUAGGGCCACCGGUUUGUUUCCACUCCAUUGUUACAUGAGGCUUCCAUUCCAUCAAAACUCAGGAUGCAUCUUCAUGGUUCUUAGAUGAGCUGUGGAAGAUGCUGAUUGAAGCCCUGUAAGAAAGGAAAUUCACUCUCCCAACAGUCAAAAAAUAAGGAACCUUGUCUAACAAUGAUGACAUCACAUUUCACCUGAAGCAUCCCACCUGGCAGCCCAGGGGUGGGGGCAAUAUUUCUCAUUUGCUUUUUAUACUACUUAUUUGACUCUCCAUUCAUUGACAGCGAGGCUUCUUUUAAUUCUUUUUCUGUUUUCCAAACAUAAAUCCUCAGGUUAAAAGAUCUGGUUAGUCAACCAUUCUCCUCCCGUAGGGCCACCGGUUUGUUUCCACUCCUUUGUUACAUGAGGCUUCUAUUCCAUCAAAACUCAGGAUGCAUCUUCAUGGUUCUUAGAUGAGCUGGGGAAGAUGCUGAUUGAAGCCCUGUAGCAAAGGAAAUUCACUCCCCCAACACUCAACAAACAAGGAACCCUGUCUAACAGGUAUGACACCACAUUUCACCUGACGUCUCCCACAUUGGAGCCCUGAGAUGGGGGCAAUAUUUCUAAUAAUCACUCUAUACAACUUGUUAGACUCUCCUUUCAUUGACAGCGAGGCUUCCUUUUACAUUUUCUUUUAGCCUCCAAACCUUAUUCCUCUGUUUAAAACCUCAAGUUUGUCAACAAUUGUCCUUCUGUAGGGCCACAGGUUCGUUUUCACUUCUUUGUGACAUGAGGCUUUCAUUCCACCACAACUCAGAAUGUUUCCACAUUUCUCCUUCAUGUAAUGUGGAUGAUUCUGUUUUGAACCACUAUAGCAAAGGAAUUUCACUCUCCCAACAGUCAACAAAUAAGAAACCCUGUCUAACAGGGAUGACACCACAUAUCCCCUGAAGUCUCCCACUUUGCAGCCAAGGGAUUGGGGCAAUUUUUCUAUUAAUUGCUCUAUACACCUUUUAAGACUCUUCAUUCAUUGACAAGGAGACUUCUUUUAAUUGUUUCUUCCAAACUCAGGUUGCAUCUUCAUGGUUCUUAGAUGAGCUGUGGAAGAUGCUGAUUGAAGCCCUGUAACAGAAGAAUUUCAUUCUCCAAACAGUCAACAAAUAACGAACCCUGUCUAACAGGAAUGACACCAUAUUUCAUCUGAAGUCAGUCACCUUGCAGUCCAGAGGUGGGGGAAAUAUUUCUAAAGUUCUUUCUAUACAACUUUAACUGUCCAUUCAUUGGCAGAUUGAUUUCUUUUUGUUAUUUCUUCUGUCUUCCAAAGAUAAAUACUCAGGUGAAAAGAUCUGGUUUGUCCACCAUUCUCCUCCUGUAGAGCCUCCAGUUUGUUUUCUCUCCUUUGUCAUAUAAAACUUGAAUUCCACCAUAACCCAGGAGGCUUCCACACAGUUCUUUCAUGGAAUUUGGGAGAUUUGGAUUGUAGCCCUGUAGCAAAGGAAUUACACUCUCCCAACAAUCAAAAAAUAAAGAACCCUGUCUAACAGGGAUGAUACCACAUUGCACCUUACAUCUGCCACCUUGCAGCCCUGGGAUGGGGCAAUAUUUCUCAUUUUUUUUCUACAACUUAUUAGACUCUUCAUUCAUUAAUAGCAAGACUUCUUUUAAAUCUUUCUUCUGGCUUCCAACCCUAAAUUCUCAGGUGAAAAGCUCAGGUUAUUCUCCCAUUCUCCUCCUGUAGGGCCACCAGUUUGUUUCCAUUCCUUUGUCACAUGAGACUUCCAUAAAAGAAUUUCAUUCCCUCACAAAUAAGGAACCCUGUGUAACAGGGAUGACACCACAUUGCACCCGAAUUCUCCCACCUUGCAGCCUGGGUUGGAGGCAGUGUCCUUUAAUUCAGCCUUUUGACUUCUAACCUAAAAUCCUCAGUUGAAUAUCUCUGGUUUUUCAGCCAUUUUCCUGCCAUAUGUACACUCUUUUAUUUCCACUCGUUUUUCUCAUGAAGCUUCCUUUCCACCUAACCAUGGAUGCUUCCACCCGACUCUUUCAUGGCCUGUGGGAGAUUCUGGUUGAACCCUGUAGCAAAGAAAAUUCACUGUCCCCACAGUGACCACAUAAGGAACCGUGUGUAACAGGUAUGACAACUCAUUGCAUCCAAAGUCUCCCAGUUUGCAGCGUAGAGGUGGUGGCAAUAUUUCUGAUAUUCGUUUUGUUCACUCUUUUAUACUCCGUAGUCAUGGAGAGAGAGGCUUCUUUUAAUUCUUUCUUCUAGCCUCCAACACUAAAUCCUCAGUUUUGAAGCUCAGCUUUGUUAAUCAUUCUACUCCUGUGGGGCUACCAGUUUGUUUCUAUUCUUUUGUCACAUGAGAUUUCCAUUCCACUAAAACUCAGAAUGCCUCCUCAGAGUUCUUUCCUGAACUCUGGGAAAUACUGGUUGAAACCCUGUAGCAAAGGAAUUUCACUCUUCCCAAUAGUCAGCUAAUAAGAAACUAUGCCUAACAGGUUUUGCACCAUAUUCUACCAGAAGUCUCCUACCUUGCAUCCCAUGCAUUGCGGCAAUAUUUCUGAUACUCUUUCUCUACAACUUAUUACUUUUGCUACUAUUUGACUGCAAAGUUUUCUUUAAUGAUUUCCUAUAAAUUUCACCCCAAAAUCUUCAAUUGAAAAGCUCAGGUUUGUCAACCAUUCUCCUCCCGUAGGUCCACCAGUUUGUUUCUACUCCUUUGUCCCAUGAGGCUUCCUUUCCACCAUAACCCAGGAUGCUUCUCUCCGGUUCUUUCAUGGACUGUGGGAGAUUCUGGUUGAUGCCCUUUAGCAAAGGAAUUUCACUCUUUCCAAUAGUCAUCCAAUAAGGAACCCUGUCUAACAGUGAUGAGAAAGCUUUGUACCCCAAGCCUCUCCCCUUUCAGCCCCGGGGUGGAGGCAAUAUUUUUGAUAUUUUUUCUAUACAACUUAUUACUCUCUCCAGUCAUUGACAACGAACUUAAUUCUGUCCUCUAACUUCUAAACCUAAAUCCUACAUUGAAUAUCUCUGAUUUUUCAGCCAUUCUCCUUCUGAAGGGCCACAGGUUUGUUUCCACUCCUUUGUCACAUGAGGCUUCCAUUCCACGAUAACUCAGGAUUCUUUCACAUGGUUCUUUCAUGAGCUGUUGGAGAUACUGGUUGAAGGCCUGUAGGAAAGGAAAAUUCCUGUCCCAUCAGUGAGCCAAUAAAGAACCCUGUCUGAUAGGAUUUAUAUCACAUUGCAACUGAAGUCUCCCACCUUGCUGCCCAGGGUUGGGGGUACCAUUUCUCAUAUCCUUUUUCCGUAGCUAUUUAGUCUUUUCUUUCAUUGAUAGUAGGCUAACUUUAAAUUUUUCCUCUAGCCUCCAACCAAACAUCUUUUUUUAAAAUUCUCAGGUUUAUCAGCCAUUCUCCUACUGUAGGACCACUGGUUUGUUUCGACUUUUUUGUCACCUGAAGCUUCCAUUCUUCCAGCACUGAUUAGACCUCCACUUGGAUUUCUCUCCAGGUUUCAUGCUCAUUGACCAAGCCUUCCAAAAUAGGAAAUUCACUUUCCCAUCAGUUAUUCAAUAGGGAACCCUUUCUCACUGGCUUGAUACCACAUUGUUCCCAUAAGACCCCACCUUGUUCCUUGUUUCACUGUCUCAAUAAUCCAUCAACAGGGAACCCUUUCUGACAGUGAAGGUAACACAUUGCACCUGUAGUGUGCUUUGCAGCUCAACAUUAUUCUCAUCUUCUUUCUUUUGCAGCUAUUUCUACCCACUGUACUACCUGCUUGUUUCAGUUUUUUUAAGAUUUGGAUUUUCAUUUCUGUCUUUACUCUAUAUUCACUUUUUUUUUCUGCCAUUCUCCAUCUCAAUAUUCAUUCUAAAAGGGAACCCUUUUCUGGCCAUUUGAGUAACACUCUUCCUCUUAAUUCUUCUCUUGUUUCACCCUGUUUUGACUACCUUAUUUCUUGUCUUUUUCUUACUAUGCAUUUUAUCUCAUUCUUAAAGAUUUUUUUCUCUUUUCUCAUUUCCUUCGCCCAUAAUAAACAUAGUUAUACCCCUCUGUCUACUCGUACAGCUAUAGCCACAUAUACUUACGAAAUUUGGAACUUUGCCCAAAUUAAUCUAUCUUUUCAUCUUUGUGGAUCUUCUUAUUUGCUAUAGCUUCCAUUUUCAAAUCAAGCCCCUUUUUAAUAUCCAUACACUUUGCCCCUAUGGCAUUCCUUUCCACCAGUAUGAAAUUAAAACAUCUAAGGUGUAAACAACCCCUUCUCUCUUUUUCUUUGCCUUGAUCCCUUAGGAAAAGGCAAUCAGAGACAGGUCAAACCUACCUUUGUUUAUUUACUAAGUUAGGCACUGUAUUCCAACCGUAACCACCCCCAUCUCAAUAUAGUUUUAUAAACCUACUUGCUAAAGUGCUCUUUUAAGCCAAGCAGGGUCAUAUCUAAUCAGACUCCAUUUCUCAGUAGCAUGCCUUUUGUCAGUGAGCGGUCAGGCAUUCAUCUGCCAUGUGCUGGUUAUUUCCUUUUAUAUCUCAUUCUUUUUUACAGAGGACUCUCUUUACAGCCGAAUCAAGGUAGAAUGAAUAUGGGCUCCAUCUCCAUUUUAAUUUCCCCUUGUGUUGUCCCUAUAGCAAAGACCACACAUUGGGUUAUGGUUCAAUUCCAUGGUUACUUUGUCCGCUAGGGCAAUUACUUCAUUUCACCCAGGGUGCCUUACCUCUGAGCACAGACAUAUUGACCUACAUUCUCAUCUGUUCUCUGAAACCAAGGAGGGUUGUGAUAUCCAAUCAGAGUGCAGAUCUCCUGUCUCCAUUAUUCAGUGGCCAGGAUCUUGACAGUAUAUGGUUUUAUGUUUAUUUUGUUCACUAGCAGUAGUACUCCUUGGUUCUUUCCAAUUCUUUGCAGUUCAGGGUAUCUGUUCCUCACAGAUCAAAAACAAAACAGAAUUGGGUUCUAGGCCAAUGUACCUUUUUCCUUGCCUGGACCCCAUAGCAAAGAAAACUGACUGUAACCACAAGCCACAUAACAGUAACUGAAUCUUCUAGUAUAGGUGGCCCACUAUACCUUCUUAUUUUUCUUACAUCACUAGUAAUUCAUUGUUAUUAUAGUCAUUAUAUGUUAUCUCCUUUUUUCAGUCUUUCUCAGACAUCAUUUUUAUUUUUUCCUUUCAAAUUUGUGUGUAUUCCCAUAUAAUCUUUCUAUCAUCAUUUGGCUCAUCCCUUACACUGAUAUUGAACCAUGUGUUAUUAUACAUAAAUAUAACUUGGUAUUUGUUUUCCAAUGGAAUAUCAUUGUCUAACCAGUCAUGUAAUACUGGACACAAAUAAUGAGUGUGCUAGUGAAUGUUUAACCAAUAGUUCUUUGAAAAUUGCAUACUUAUAAGGUUUAUAUUCACUCUAAGCAAUUUUUGUAUCCCUUUCUUAAGUCAAUAAAAAAGUCAAUGUUGAAUUGUAUUUUUAUGAUUCUAGAAACAAUUCUUCACAGUGAAAUUUUACUCUGUAUAAAGAUAGGGUGAUUCCAUUUCCCCUUUGAGUUAAAUGUUCUUCCUCUUCUUAUGCCAAUAUAGGAGACAUAUUUCAUUAUUUUGCCUCCCAAAUUCUCUUUUUUGUUAUUUUCAUUUCUUUUCAUUGAGGUUUGCCUGUUCUCCAUCCCCAUCAUUUUAUUUCUUCUGCCUUAUACCUUUUCCUUAGUUCACCAUGCAUCAUCUCACAUAAAUAUUUUCUUGCUUCUCAGAAUUCCAAAUACUCAUUCUCUAUUUCAGUAUAAUAUAUUCUUUAUUUCAUUACAGUUUCAUUACCAUACAGACAGUGAUUUGUUUAGUCAUCUCUUAUCUGAAGAGCAUUUGGGUUUCCAUUUCUUUGCUACAAAGUAUUUUUGUUCAUUUUAAAAGGAACCAUUUCUGACACCCCCAUUUUAUAGAUAAAAUUCAAGUGAUGAGAGGAAUGAAGUUUUAUUGAAAUGGAAUAGAUAAAUGAGUUAGGGUUAUUCAUUUCAUUGGGAGCCUAGAAAAAUAGAAUCGGGAGACUUUGGGGUGUUAUGAUCCAAGUGAAGUUUCCUGAGAUCUAAGUUCUAUGAGCUCAGCGAUGUUACAUAGCCCUCCCUCAAGAUGGUAGGUCACCUAAGCCAUAGUAGCCCUAUGUCAUCUUCUUGGGUAUGAGAUUUUAUAACCUCUCCCCCCAAUGUUUCACAACUUUAAUGUUUAAUAACAUCACCUUGUGCUCUAAAUAAGUUCAAACUAUUUCCCUUGAGAUUGUUCUCCUAAAUGAAAAUGUUGAUUUGUAUAAUAUACCUUUAUAGACUUGAAUAUCAUUAGUAAAUCAUUAUUCAGUAUUCUCUUCCCAGGCAAAAAAACAAAAAACAAAAAACAAAACCCAUCACCUUUUUUUCAAUCUGGUGCUAUUCCCCAAACCUCCUCAUGUUCUCACAAUCUUUUAAAAUAAAGGCCCACAAAAAAAAGUAAUUUUCAUAUCUAAGGCCUGAUCAAUAUGGAAUAUAGUUGAGAAUGCCUUCUUUUCUAGCUUUUGCAUGUGGCAAUGUAGUAUGCGCUUAUUGGUUUGCACAUAGUAGGUACUUAAUAAUAAUGUUGCACGGAGUAGGUGCUUUCAAAUAUUGCACAUUGUAGGCAUUUAAUUGCACAGAGUAGGUGCUUAAUCAGUGUUUGUUAAAUUGAGAGAAAAACAUCGUCCACGAUCGAUCUUUCCCUCGUAGUACCUCACAUCGCACUUUGUUUUCACUUCUCCCACAAUUCUCCUUACUGUCUUUUUUAUAUCAUACCCUAUACAUAUGUAGCCUGUUUUUAUUAGAUUUUAAACUUCUUGAGGGCAAGAGCUAUGUAUCUUAGUAUCUACCCUAGCAAAUUGCUCUGCUACAUAAAUACUACUGCAUUCACUUAAUCAAUGUUUAAUUUUUGAUUUGAGUAGAAUUGUUCCCCUGUCAAUGCAUCCUAACACCAAGUCAGGAUGCCUGUACUGCACGAUUAGCACCUUAUUACAUUUUAUCCUGUUAUAUCUUAUAACAUUAUUCUGAGAAAAGCAAAGAACUCCAUAUGCUAUAAAACACUGUAUCCGUGCUAUUAUUAUUAUUAGUUACCAUUGUUAUUUUCUAGUUGCUUUUGUUAUAUCAUUUAGCACUUUAUUAUAUUAGAAUAUCAUGCUAUCUUGUCAUUCUAUUUUUGUUAUUUGGUGUGUAUAUCUUAUUUUCCCAGUUAGAUUGUAAUCUUUAGGUAGGCAAUGGCUAUGUAUACCUUGCAUAUAAUAUGUACUCAAUAAAUGCUUAUUGAAUGAUUAA